AUCACUUAUUUUCCAUUAUGACGUUGAUAUAUAAUUUGCAGACUCCACAAAUGAAGAAAAGAGCACAAAUGACGUUGGCAAACCUGAAACUUUCCCAUUGGGCAAUAAACAUUACUCCAGUCAAAAACAUUAUGGAAGAGGCAAACCUGAAACUUUCCCAUUGGGCAAUAAACAUUACUCCAGUCAAAGACAUUAUGGAAGAGGCAAACCUGAAACUUUCCCAUUGGGCAAUAAACAUUACUCCAGUCAAAGACAUUAUGGAAGAGGCAAACCUGAAACUUUCCCAUUGGGCAAUAAACAUUACUCCAGUCAAAAACAUUAUGGAAGAGGCAAACCUGAAACUUUCCCAUUGGGCAAUCAGCAUUACUCCAGUCAAAAAAAGUAUGGAAGAGGUGCUUCUCCAUCCGACAAUCAACCACCAAUUCCAUAGAAAUUCAAACACGGCUACUUUCUUGCCACGAGAAAGCGCUCAAUCGAUCCCCUUCUCCUCUAACAAACUACCAGAAAUUUUCAACCAUUUUUCAGUGAAGCCAACAUCUGAGGAAGCCAAAACAAUUAAGCAAACAAUCGAAGAGUGUGAAGCUCCAGACCUUAAGGGAGAGGAAAUAUAUUGCGCCACAUCUUUAGAAUCAAUGGUUGAUUUUAGCACUUCGAAGCUUGGAACAAGAAACGUUGAAGCAAUCUCGACGGAGGUAUUGGAAAAAGGAGCCACCAUGUCCAUCCAAAACUAUACAACAAUGCCGGGACUGAAGAAGUUGGCAGGUGACAAAGUCGUUGUGUGUCAUAAGCAGAACUAUCCCUAUGCUGUGUUUUUCUGCCAUGCAAUAAAACAUACAGCAGCUUAUGCUCUCUCCCUGAAAGGCGAUGAUGGGGAGAAGGUUAAAGCAGUAACCAUCUGCCAUCUAGACACAUCAGAAUGGGACCCAGAGCAUAUGUCCUUCAAAAUCGUCAACGUUAAGCCCGGAACCAUUCCCAUCUGCCAUUUCAUUUCCACUGAUGCUAUUGCCUGGGUUCCGAACCACAAAUCUGCAUGAUCAUCACUUAGCACUAGUACUGUGCGUAUAAUAUGCCUGUAUAAUUAUCUCCCUACUUAUUUCUGCCUGUUCAUCAUGUGGUGUAAGAUAUAUGUUGAGAUGAAGUUUUUGGGAUUAGUGGUCGAAAUUAACCCGAUCAUGUUUUCUCUUGUAACUAUAUAGACUUCAACUUGUACUCAUAAUAAAGCAUGCUAUAUUUAUGAAGAGAUAUUAAUCUUCAGGCAAAUAGAUAUUAUGAAAACAUAUAUAGCAAUUUAUCCAGAAGAAAUAUUAUGAAAUGAAAAGAAUAAAAAGUAAAAAAACAGAAGGAAAGGAAUUCGCACCUGCUAUGUAUGAAAGGACCAAGAUUGUUUUCCCUUUGGUUAAUGACUAGAAAAGCUCACUUGCAGAUUGCUUUCUCUGACCGUAGAUGCAACAGAAAUUUUCUCUUAAUAAUAGCACAAUGAUCGGGUAAUUGUAAGAACAAGUUGAUUUAAAAUUCCUUGACCCAAAAAAAAAAAAAAAAUCAUUUCAAAUUCAGGUCAACCCAUAGAUUUCUUGCCUUUUUCUUCUUCAUCACGUUGGGCUUGUCUUCUUCUUGAGGAUUGUAUAGGCCCAGGAAAUGCUUUGAGGUAGUUUUUGGCCUUGGAAGUUGGGACCCAACCCAACUUCACAAAAAGAAAACAGAUUUGCCAAAAAUCAAAUUUCAAGUCUCUCCUCAGAUCACUAAUACAGAUCAAAUUUUGGAUUUGAUGAACUAAAGUGGUUUUACUUUCUCUGUCAGUGUUUGAUGACUUAAUUUGUUAUUUACUUCUUUUUUUUUUUUUACUUGAUCUUUGUAGGGGUUUUUUUCUUCCGGUAACUUAAACGGGCUGGGCUGCCGUAAAGGGUAGAUUGAUGAAAUUGUCUCCUUUGUCUGAGUUCGAAAAUCAAGCCCCAAAAGCGCUUCGAAAGGGCAGUAGAGCCUUAGGAAGCGUUCUAGUCAUCUUCACCAACUAAAACAACAGCAACUUACAGAUGAUUUCUUAAGGCUUACAGAUAAAUUUUCUAGCUUGGCAUGAGAGGCUUGUGACAUGGAAGCAAAAUCAGCAUGAGUUUAGCACCAAAGAGGAAAAUAUGGCUUCCUAGGGAGAAAUGGGAGUGUUUAAGGUGAGGAAGAAGAGGUUUGCAGGCUGAUUUGGCUGAGGAGAGAGAAAGAAAGAACAAUGUUCUUCCAGUAGCUUGACAAAGCUUCUGACAGAUGUGAAAGUCGUCUGCCAUAAGAGGAAAAUGAAGAAGAAUGGUGAAUAGUGCAUGAAAUUGCUGGGUUUUUGCAGGUAAGAGAGAAAGCUUGCUCUCUGAAUUUGAGUUGGUUUUUGGUUGGGUAGAAGAGGCCCCCUUUUAUAGCUGCGGGAAACCAUCUUUUUUCAAGAAACCCUAAUGGUUUCUAUCCAUUUUGGCCAAGCUUUUCCCUUCAUUUCUCUUCUCCUCCCUUGACUUUUCCUAUCUUGGUGAAAUUUCCUCUGCCUAUUUGCACAAAAUUAGAGAUUUUGAGGAGCUCAAGACCCCUUUCCCGCAGCUGCCUCAGUGGAGAAUCCCCAUUUUCAGUCAUCUUUCUUCCUUCUUUUCUCCCAUCUUCCAAGGUUAGGUCUGAUGAGGGAAAGAAAUGGGUAUGCACACUGGUUUGAAGGGUAUUUUUGCUUGAAACUUGUUCUCUCCCAUGUGCUGGAGCUUCCCAGCAACUUACACACAUGGAUAUUUUGGCUUUCAUCGUGGCUUUUGUUUUCAGCUAGGUGCUGGAGAUUUCGCAGAUAUUUUCAUGAGUUGCUUGGGCCUUCUAGGACAAUAGGUUGGUUUAUCAAGUGAAUGGGCUAACUUCAUCAAUUGUUGGGCUAUUUUGGUUGAGUUAAUGGACUAUUUUGGUUGAAGUAAUGGGCUAUUUUGGUUGAAUUAAUGGGCUAUUUUUCUCUCUUUGUGCUCACCCACAUAUUUGGGCCUAAGAAAUGGGCUUGAGUUCCGGGGCUCCCAAGCAACCCCGGGACUUCCAUUUCUCGGCCCAUCAAUGGGCCUCAUAUCAACUUAUUACCAUCCAUAUCACAACCCACUCAAGCAAGCCCUGGGCAUCUUGCGUGGCUUGGGCCCACUUAAGCUUGUAGCGUGACGUGUUGCUUAUUUGCUUGGCAUGGCAUGUGUGCAAGCGCAUAUGACGAACUUUAGCGUGCCCAAAUUGGGUUUAUUCUCGGUAAGGUAUCGCAUUGGGCCGAGAAUUUAAUUGGGCAGAACUGUGGAUUUUUGGGCCUCAACAAUCUUAUAUAUAUUGGUUUUCUUUUUUUCCUUAAUAUUCACCACCUUUCUGUUGCAUAAGUAUUUCAGUCUUAACGGGUUUCCAUCUACCACUCAUCUUUGCUCUUUUAAGUGUAAGCUUUUUUUUUUUUUUUUUAAGCACAAGAUUAGAGGGGAGGGGGAUUUCUCAAUGUAAGCUUUGCAGUUUCAUAAUUAAUAUUUCCAAUAUCUCACUGUUAGUAAAAUAUGGAACAGGAAAAGUAUGAAUAAAAUACACACAUGUUUUAUUUAGCAAAAUUUUGACAAGAUACAACUGAAAAGUUUGGCCACUAUAUAAUAUUUUGAUAUAAUUUCUACACUUCUUCUCAAAAGAUUAGAUCACUUCACAUCUUGUGUAUGUGAAAACUAAUGUAAAAAGUUGAAACUUUAUCGUAAAACCUCGACAAAAAUGAGCUCUACUAGAAAAUGUUCAAUUUGGAUUCGUUGAUUUAAAUGGCAAUUUGACACUUGAUAGAAAUUUUUACAUACAUGUGUUAGUGUUUGAUCACUUCACAUGUUACUUACUAUAUUUAUUCCACUCAAGUUAGGUAAAUAUUAUUAUCAAACAUUUCAAUUAAUUUGUGAUUUUUUUAUUAUUUAAUCAAUUAUGAAUUAAUGGAUUCUUCUUGUUGUUUUGAAGACCAAUAAAAAAAAAAGGGUAAGGAUGGCUUAUAACUCUGAUAAAACAACAGUGACGUGGACAGCAGAUGUUACACCGUACUGAAGAUUUUUGAAGAUUCUUUAUUUGGGUUUCUUUCAAGAUGAAAACCAUAUUAUCCACAACCACAAUGAAGAAGACAGAAAAUGGAGUAAUUCAGAUGUUACCAGCCAUCCACGACAAACUGAAGUCUGCAAAGCAUUCGUAAUCUAAAGGGAGACUUUGGAAAAGCCCAAAGGAGAGAGAAAAUUUUUAAAAGAAGCAAAAAUGGACAAAAUUGCCCUUAUUUAUUUUUUGAUUUCCUAAGAAAUCCUUUACAUUUGCAUGUCUUUGGUUUGAAAGUUGAGAGGUUAUUCUGUCUUUUUUCAAAAAGCUUUGGCUUUUUCCAAAAGUGAAAGUUUUUUUAUGGGUAAAACCUAAAUUUACUUAAUCCCUAAAAAGGAUGGGGAGGCUGCGCAAUACUUAGCCACGUGUAGGCCAGGAGGCUUUCCAAUUUUAAUAUAUAUAUAAAUUGAAAAAAUAAAAUAAAAAUCAAUCUAUUAUCCUAUAUAAAAUAAAGAUUAUUGCUUCCAUGGGCAGUGCUAUGCACAGGACAGUGCCUGCCCAGCACAAAUUUUUUUUAAAUAAAAAAAAAAAAUCUACAUAUGUUAUAAGCUCAUCCAAAAAAAUAAAAUAAAAUAAAAGUAAAUUCUACAUAUAUGUUGCCCAUCUAGGUGGUUCCAUAUCUUCUCUCUCCUUCUCUUUUGGCUAUUAGACUUCUUGUUUCUCUCUCUCUCUUUGCUACCUCACAUCAGCAAGUUUCUCCCUCUCUUUUUUUGGGGUCAAAUUCUUCCUCUAUUGACAAAAUCUUCUAUUAUCUUGGGUGGGCAACUUGGCAACAACAUCUUCUCUUCUCCUUUUGUCAACAACAAGUAUUAUUCUCAUUCUCUCAUUUGCUAUAUAUCUUUAAUUAUAGUUUUAAUUUAAAAUUGAGUAUUCUAGGGUUUAAUUAGGGAUGAAUUAUAAUUUUAGAAUUUUGUUGAAAUUAAUUAAGGCUUCGAUUAGGGGUGAAUUAUUCUACUGCUUUGGUUUGGAAUUUUGUUAAAAUUGAGUAUUAUAGGGUUUAAUUAUGGAUGAAUUAUAAUUUUUGAUUUUGGUAUUAUUGAGAUGUUAUUAUGAGAAUUUGUUUCAUUUUUUUAUUGGUAUAUUUGAUUAAAAUUCUUUCUACAUAUUAUUCAUAGGCUAUCUUUUAUUAUGUCGGAUCACAAUCGGAAUCCCAAGAGAACAAAGAAUUUGAAUAGUGUUGUUUUGUAUUGCAUUGCAUUUACUUUUGGUUUUAGUUUUGCUUUUAGUGUAAAUUACUCAAAUGGUCCUCAAAUUUGUACCCGAUUUACAUUUUGGUCCAUAAACUAAAUUAUUCAUUCAAAUGGUGCACCAACUCUUUAUUAAUCAGUGCUUUGGUCCUACCGUUAUGUUUUCUAUUAAAUUUAGUCAUGUGAGCAGCACAUGCUACAUUUGUAGGGGUAAAUAAGACUUUUGACCACUUUAUCACCUAUGUAUCACCACUUUAUAACCUAUUUGGAGAACAUAGGUCAGUUAUGGACGGUUUUACAAUUAUAUUUGACGGCAACAUUAACAUAAUGUAACAGUGGGAUCAAUGGAGCGAUUAAUAUAGAGUUGAUGGACCGUUUGAACGAAUAAUUUAAUUGAGGGACCAAAACGUAAAUUGAGUAUAAGUUUGAGGACCAUUUGAGUAAUGUACCCUUCGCUUUUAUAUUUGUUGAACUUUUAUUUAUGGAUAGAUAUGCAUUUGAGGGUAAGACCCAUUAUGUUCCCCCUGACUUGGUGUAUCUUUUUAUGUUUAUUAAUGAAAUUCACUCGAACUGUUGAGUUUAGUAUGUAAGUUUUGCCUAACCGGCUUUUGAAUCCUAGAACCGCCACUGUUGCUCCAUCCUCCAUGCACUUGCAUGUGCUCUUACAAAGUGUGAAGUAGAUUUUGUGUGCUCCAAGUCAUUGACUAGAGCUGAAACAUGGUUAGCUAGAUUUAUAAGGACCCAUCUCUCUAUUUCCUAGACAUAUACCCAUCUCUCUAUAAAUCUAUAUGUAAAACUCAAUUUCAAACUUAAAUGACCAGUAAGAUAUAAGAGGUCAUAGUAUUCCUAUGUUUUUACAUCGUUGCCACCAGACUUCUUAUUUUAUUUAUAAUUUAUUUCAAGCAUUUCAUUAACUGCCAUAAUUGUAAUUAAUACUCCAUAUUAAUAGCAUAUCAAUCACCCCAUUUCUUUUGAUUGCCAUUCCCUCUAACAUAUCGCCCCUUAAAAUUGAAAACCAAAAAAAAAAAAAAUGUAAAUUACAUAUCCAAUAAUGUACCUAUGAAAAAUAUAAAUAUAAAUAUAUACGUAUAAAAAUAUAGGUUUAUUAUUUACCAAAUAAAAAAUAUAAAAAAACUAGGUCAGUUGCUUUGUAAUUGAAAUUUCUAUACAUUUUCCACAAAUUAAAAAUAGGUACACAAUAAUUUAUAGAAAAUAUAGGUGCAUUAUUUAUCCAUAGGUAAAAAUACCUAUAAAUGCACAUAGGUAAAUUAUUUACCCAUAUAUUAUUUUUUUGCUAAGGAUUUACCUUAGUUUUUAGUAGAUUAAUUUACCUACCUAGAGGCAUAGGUAGCUUAAAAAAAUUGUAGCACCUUAGUUGGUUGCAUACUAAUUUACCUACCUAGAGGCAUAGGUUGCUAAGAAAAAAUGUAGGUAAAUUCAUGUACCUAAACACAUAGGGGUCAAAUAGAGAAUAACAUGUUAUUUCCCUUCGAACAAAUUAAUUUCAAACCAUAACAAUAAUUGAAUUCGGAAAUUGGUAUAAAUAAAAGGAAAUAAAUAAGCUAUCAAUUUGAAAAUUAAAAUAAGAAAUGAUCAAGUAGUCAUAUUUGAAAAAAAAGAAAAGAAUAUAUUCUUGGUUUUUAUAGGAACAACGUGUAUAUUCAAACCAAAUGGCAGUAACUACACCAAGCUUUAAUUACUUUUUUUUAAGGCCAAAAGUCACUUUUGGUCUCUGUAGUUUGACACUUCUAUUACUUUUGACGCUGUAGUUUCAAUUCCGUCAAUUUUGCCAUUGUAGUUUCAUAUUUGUAGCAAUUCAAGGACAUGUUAAUAUUAAUGUCAAUUUGUUUAAUGAUGCAAGGGGUAAUUUCGUCAUCCCAAAAUCCUUGAGCAUAAAAGCUUGUCUGAAAUUCUCCCCAUUUCAUAUUAGGGCUCGAAAUUCAACCACUAAUCCCAAUUUUUGAAGAACCCUAUACCCAAAUGACCAAUUUCAAGCCCUAAUAACAAAUUAGGGAAGUUUUAGAUGAGCUUUUAUGCUCAAGGAUUUUGAGUUGAAGAAAUUGCCCCUUGCACUGUCAAAGAAAUUGAUAGGAAUACUGACUUGUCCUUGAAUUGCUACAAAUACAAAAAUACAGGGUCAAAAUUAACAGAAUUUAAACUAUAUGGUCAAAAGUGGUUAAAGUGCCAAACUACAAGGACCAAAAGUGACUUUUAGCCUUUUUGUUUAAAUAAGGAAAAAACUUACCUAUUAAAUCCUUGGAAUCUAUACAAAAUUGAAACACAGUUAAUCAGCAUUGAAUUGCAGCUAAUUUCUUAAACAAGGGUAUUAUAGGAAUUUAAAAAGUAUAACAUUUAAUCCAUUGAGCUUGAUUAGGAAUCUUGAUGAGUUGGAUCCUAGUUAUAUAGUUUCUCUUAUAAAAAUCGGGUUUUAUUUAUAGACAAAUAAAACAAUGGGUUGUAGGUAAGAAAAUAUUAAUUUGAAGGGAAAGUGUCACAUCCUGGGAUCGGCUCCGCCGUAGCACGAUAUUGUCCGCUUUGGGCCCCCCUCUCUGCCCGCACGGUUUUGUUUCUGGGAGCUCACGAGCAACUUCCCAGUGGGUCACCCAUCCUGGGAUUGCUCUGGCCCCCAACUCGCUUAACUUCGGAAUUCCUAUGACUCCGAAGCCAGUGAGCUCCCAAAAGGCCUCGUGCUAGAUGGAUGCGGGUGUGUACAUAUAAGACACAUCACCCCCUCUCCGUUGGUUGAUGUGGGAUCUUACAGAAAGAGUCAAAUUUACUAAAUUAAUAAAGCAUAAAUUGGAAAGGGAAAAGAUCUAGAGGAUGCAUUGUAGGAUUGCUCAUGCCAAUAAUUGCACCCUCUCGAUAUUGAAAAACCUAUUGUGUAUUAUUAUCUUCAAUCAUGAAUGAUGCACCUAAAACCCAAGUGUCCCAAGCCAACCAUUGCGCUCAUACCACUUGUUGCAGUACACAUUCACCCGUUUUUAAAGAAAGAAAUUCUACCAAUCGAUAUUGUCUCAAAUUUAAUCACAUAGGUCUAUUAUGGUUAACCAUAUGUACUUUUAUCGGCCAUAUAGAGGUACCUUUUUCCAACGUGCAACAAUUGUAUUUGAUUCACAAUUAUGUCUGAUAUACAUCACAUCAUGCCACUUGCCUCAAAUGAAUUUAAUUGAGUGAGGCAAUGGGAAGUAAUUAAGCUCUAUAUUGGUGGGUGGAGUGUUACUUCUGGAACCCUCAUCAUUCGUCCAUACAAGGGAACAAUUCCCUUCCUUCUAUAAAAUGGUGAAGCCAGUUGCUAUUGUUUGUUAGAGUUUUAGGAUCUGAGUGUUAGAUUUUGUGAGAAGAGAGAAGAGAAUUUAGUGAAAACUUCCAAUACUGCUCUGCUAUACGUGUAGCAGAGAGAACAUUCUGUUUUGUUAUAUAUUUUCAGUACAACAACACACACUUGGUGUGAGAAGAAAAAUGACUGUUAUGCACAGUACCAGCUGGAUGCUUUCCAUCAAAGUAAUCUCAGCCAUUCACUAUCUAACCAAUCAAGCUAUGACACCUGGACUAAGUAUAAAGAAAUACAACUAAGCAGAAAACAAGACUCUUAAUCCUGAAAUCAACUUAAGCACUUAUAAUUCAACACUCCCCUUUAAGUCUUGAGGUGAUUUCACUCCAAGCAUGCCUCUGAGAUAAUUGAAUCUGUCUUUGGCCAGAGGUUUGGUAAAAAUGUCAGCCAAUUGUUCAUUUGUAGGACAAUAUUCCAGAUUGAUUACCCCUUCUUGCAAUGCAUCCUUGAUGAAGUGAUACCUCCUGUCAAUAUGCUUUGUCUUCUGGUGGAAUACAGGGUUUUUAGUGAUUGCAAUUGCUGAGAUAUUAUCACAAUGCAAUGGAGUAGCUUCAGUUUGAAGCUCUCUAAAGUCUUCUAGCACAAAACGGAGCCAAAUAGCUUGAGUAGUAGCCUCAGCUGCACUGAUGUACUCAGCUUCUGCAGUAGACAGUGCAACACAGUUCUGUUUCACUGAGGCCCAAGAAAAUACUCCACUUCCAAAACUAAACGCAUACCCUGAUGUGCUCUUGCAAUCACCAACUGAUCCUCCCCAAUCACUGUCACAGUAACCAACUAGAAUUGAUCUUUUGCCUUUCACAUAUUCAAGACCAUAGUCCAGAGUUCCUUUGAUGUAUCUCAAAACCCUUUUAGCUGUUCCAUAGUGUCUAUUUGUAGGACAGUGCAUGAAUCUAGCUAGCAAGCUUGAGGCAUACAUGAUGUCUGGUCUUGUAGCAGUUAAGUACAGCAAGCUACCAACAAUGCUUCUGUAUUGUUCUUCAUUUGCAGCUCAACUCCCAUCAUCCUUAGCUAGUUUCUCAGUGGCAACAAGGGGUGUUGUCACAGGUUUGCACUCAGUCAAACCAAACUUGCUCAACAAGGUGCUAGCAUAUUUCUUUUGAUGUAGAAAUAUACUAGACUCAGUCUGAAUAACUCCCAUGCCAAGAAAGUGAUGAAGUAAGCCCAAAUCAGUCAUCUCAUACUUAGCCAUCAUGUCUUCUUUGAAUUCAGCCAACAAUGCUUGACUGCUCCCUGUAUACACAAUAUCGUCUACAUAGAUAGACACAAUUAGAAUCUCCUUAUCUCCCCUUACUUUGGUAUAUAAGGUUGUUUCACUUAAGCUUUUCACAAAACCACAUUGAGUGAAGUAGCUGUCUAUCUCUCCAUACCAAGCCCUUGGGGCUUGCUUCAGACCAUAAAGGGCUUUAUGCAAACGAUAAACCUUGUCUUCUUUACCUUUAAUUACAAAACCUUCAGGCUGACUGACAUAAACUUCCUCUUGCAGCACACCAUUAAGGAAAGCAGACUUCACAUCAAGCUGGAACAAUUUCCAAUCCUUUUGAGCAGCUAGAGCAAUAAGUGUUCUAAUGGUGUCCAAUCUGGCUAUAGGUGCAUAAGUCUCAUUAUAAUCCAGUCCAGGCUUCUGAGCAUACCCCUUAGCCACUAAUCUUGCUUUAUUCUUUUGCACUGAGCCAUCCAAAUUCAGCUUUGUCUUGUACACCCACUUAACUCCAAUCACUGGUUUUUCAGUUAGUCUAUCUACCAAUUCCCAUGUUUCAUUCUUUUCAAUCAUCUGCAGUUCAUCUUCCAUAGCCUUAAGCCAAGAUUCAUCCUGAGCAACAUCAGCAUAUUUUUCUGGUUCCAUGAUACACAAGUUACACUGAGCUAGAACAUCAUCUAGCCUUCUCCAUUUUAGAGGGGUGUGAUCAUAAGCUUGAGUUCUCCUUUCUUCACUGCUUAUAUCACCUGGAGUUGAUGAAAUGCUCUCUUGCAUAUCCAAAGUUUGAGGUGUACCAGUAGAAUUCUCAUUAGAACUGUCAGAUUUCAAGUCCAAAUCAACUUGGUUUUCAAUUGAGUAUGUUGUCAUAACUGAACCAUUUUUGUUUGUCCAAUGCCAAGCAUUUUCUUCAUCAAAUGUCACAUCCCUUGAUAGUAAAAGCUUGUUAGAAACAGGAUCAAAAACUCUAUAUCCUUUUUCACAAGUUGCAUAUCCCACAAACACUCCCUUUGUACUCUUAGGAUCCCGCUUGUGUCUCAAUUCAGUUGGCACAUGAACAUAACACAGAGAACCAAACACUUUCAGAUGUGCAAUUCCAGGCUUCCUUCCACUAUAUGCUUCGAAUGGAGUAAUGUUGUUGAGAGCUUUGGUAGGACAUCUGUUCAGCAAAUAGAUAGCUGUAUGCACAGCUUCUGCCCAUAGGAAAUAAGGCAUUCCCUUCUCAUGUAACAUUGAUUUUGCCAUCUCAAUGACAGUUCUAUUCUUCCUCUCAACUACUCCAUUCUGCUGAGGAGUAUAGGCCAUUGUAAGCUGCCUUUGAAUGCCAUUAGCUUCACAAAACUCCAAAAAAUCAGUAGACAUAAACUCUCCACCCCUGUCACUUCUUAUGCACUGAACCUUGUGUCCAGUUUGUAAUUCAGUCAUGGACUUGAACUUCUUGAAACAAAAGAAGGCUUUUGACUUGUUUCUCAAGAAGUAUACCCAAAUCAUUCUUGUGAAAUCAUCUAUAAUCAGCAUGAAAUAUCUGUUCCUUGCAACAGACUCAUUUCUCAUGGGACCACAGAGAUCCACAUGUAUUAGCACUAGUACUUUGCUUGCUCUUUGAGCUUGAUCUUUUGGAAAAACAUUUCUGUGCUGUUUUCCAAAUUGGCACCCGUCACACACACCACUUUGUUCUUCCAAUUUUGGUAAACCAUGUACCAUUUCUUUAUCACUUAGCUGCUUCAAUCCUCCAAAAUGCAGAUGACCAAAUCUCUUGUGCCAAAUCCAUGUGGAUUGAAGAAAACUAGUCUUCAUUAGUAACUGUUUUUCAGCUAGAAAAGAGACAGGAUAGCAUCUGUUACUCUUCAUUUGCACCUUUAUGAUGAGAUAAUCCAUGGAUGGGCUAUCAAAUACCCUGCACAUCCCUUCUCCAAACACUAGACAGUACCCAUGUUCAUCCAUCUGCCCAACACUUAGCAGAUUUUCUUUCAAUCCUGGCAGAUACAUUACUUCUCUGAUGUAUUUCCUGCCCUUUGCUGUAUCAAUACUCAGUGAGCCAAUACCAGCUACACUCACUAAUGCACCAGUUGGCAUUUGUACUCUCCCAGCUACAUUAGUUCUCACAUCAACCAGCAAAUCUAAAUUUCCUGUCAUAUGAUUGCUGCAGCCACUGUCAAUGUACCAUUCAUUGGUUUUGAUCUCAGUGGUUGAGCAAUUGGCAUAAAACAGGUUUCCUGUAACCUCCAUUUGAUUUACACAAUUAGCCUUCUGCACAUUUUUGCUCACUGUACAGUCUCUAGCAAGAUGUCCAACUCUGUCACAGUUAUAGCAUUUUGGUUUUCCCUUAUACCUGCACUCACCAAAAUGAUGCUUUGAACACACCUUGCAUUGAGGCUUUGUGUUUUCCUGAUUUGAGAACUGUGUUGAAGUGUGGUUCUGUGCAGAAUAAUUAUUCUGCUGUGUCUUGUCUUUUGCCUCCCAUGACUUCCCUUUAGAGUUCCAGCUUCUCUGUGACUUAGAUGAACCAGACUGAGAAGCAUUUUUGUUCUGACCCUUUGAAUUCACAGUGAAUGAGGCAAAUGCCUUCUCAGCUGUAUCAACACUAUGCAUUUCAAGCCUUUGCUCCCGACUCUUCAAAAUGGCAGUUACUUCCUGCAAAUCCACAGUUUCUAGUGUCUUUGUGUUUUCAAUCACAAUGCAUAUAGGGUCAUACUUCUUACUUAGACUAAUUAACACCUUCUGAACCUACCUCUCAUUUGACAGAACUUCACCAAAUGUUUUCAUUUGGUUAAUCAAUUCAGUUAGUCUAGUAAGAUAUUCAGAUAAGGUUUCACUAUCACGCAUCCUACUGUAUUCAAACUCACGUCUAAGGUUUUGAAGCUUUACCGAUCUAACAUGCUCUCCACCAUGAUAUUCUGAGUACAGCAGAUUCCAAGCCAUCUUUGCAGAGUCAGCAUUGGCAAUUCUGGGAAAAAUCUGAUCAGAAACAGCAUUUUGAAUGAUACCCAAGGCCUUCGCAUCCUUCAUGAGAAUCGCAGCUGUUUUCUCAUCAACUUCUUCUUCUGAACCAUCCUCAGAUUCCUGCUUCGUCUUUGAAUCUGGGAUUAAAAACCCCUUCUCUACCAAACCCCAUAAACCAUAUGAUCUGAAUAUGGUUACCAUCUUAAUCCUCCAAAAUUCAUAGUUCUCACCUGAGAAAAUGGGGAUUCUAGCCUCUGAACUUCCAGAUCCAGCCAUUACGAAUUUCAGAUUCGCCUGGAAACAAGAUGUUUUCAGAUUUGACCCUUGAUCGAGCUCAAUCAGCUUCGUGAGCUUAGAAUGAGCUCACCUCGAUCGAUUUUCUUCACAGAACAACGCCCAGCUUCAGAUAAUCAAACUUGGCUCUGAGGCCAUGUUAGAGUUUUAGGAUCUGAGUGUUAGAUAUUGUGAGAAGAGAGAAGAGAAUUUAGUGAAAAUUUCCAAUACUGCUCUGCUAUACGUGUAGCAGAGAGAACAUUCUCUUUUGCUAUAUAUUUUCAGUACAACAACACACACUUGGUGUGAGAAGAAAAAUGACUGUUAUGCACAGUACCAGCUGGAUGCUUUCCAUCAAAGUAAUCUCAGCCAUUCACUAUCUAACCAAUCAAGCUAUGACACCUGGACUAAGUAUAAAGAAAUACAACUAAGCAGAAAACAAGACUCUUAAUCCUGAAAUCAACUUAAGCACUUAUAAUUCAACAUUGUUACCAUAAGAGCCAGCUCCGACUUUCUUUAAUUUCAGUCCUAACGGGGUUUCAUCUUCCACUCAUCUUUGCUCUUCUCAGUGUAAGCUCUGCAAUUUGAUUAACUUUCCCAUUAUCUCUCACUGUACUCUAUAUAAAGGAAUAAGUGUCGUCCACUAAUUAAUUACACUUUGUGAGAUUUGAUUUUAAUUAGAGUUCGAAUUGAUGUUGCAGCUAGCAGCGGUGGCACUGGCAAACCAUGCUGCUCAACCAGCACCUCAACUUUACUGGAACUCCGUCCUGCCAAACACACAAAUGCCAAGAGCUAUCAGUGAACUUCUGCAUCCUGGUUUGUGUUGAAUAAAUAUAGUAUGUUACUGGAGUACGUAUGGCAACAUAUUCACAAAUGUGUCACGUAUUUUCCAAUAUGACGUUGAUAUAUAAUUGCAGACUCCACAAACGAAGAAAAGAGCACAAAUGUCAUGAAUGCUGUUGGGAAUGGAAAGCCAAUUGACCACAAGGGCAACCUGAAAAUACUGUACUACCACAGCUUGCACGACGCCCAUUUUCUUACAAGAGUGAUGAUCGUCCCACUGACAAUCAACUCCAUUAUAAAAACGUAGCUAUUUUCUUCUUGGAGAAGGACAUGCGCCCUGGCACAACAAUGAGCUUCCAAUUCCCUAGAAAUUCAAACACGGCUACUUUCCUGCCACCAGAAAGAGCUCAAUCGAUCCCCUUCUCCUCUAACAAACUACCAGAAAUUUUCAACCAUUUUUCAGUGAAGCCAACAUCUGUGGAAGCCAAAACAAUUAAGCAAACAAUCGAAGAGUGUGAGGCUCCAGGCAUUAAGGGAGAGGAAAUAUAUUGCGCCACAUCUUUAGAAUCAAUGGUUGAUUUUAGCACUUCGAAUUUUCGAACAAGAAACGUUCAAGCAAUCUCGACAGAGGUAUUGGAAAAAGGUGCCACCAUGUCCAUGCACAAGCAUACAACAAUGCCGGGACUGAAGAAGUUGGCAGGUGACAAAGUCGUUGUGUGUCAUAAGCAGAACUAUCCCUAUGCUGUGUUUUACUGCCAUGUAAUAAAACCAACAGCAGCUUAUGUUCUCUCCCUGAAAGGCGAUGAUGGGGUGAAGAUUAAAGCAGUAGCCAUCUGCCAUCUAGACACAUCAGAAUGGAACCCAAAGCAUUUGGCCUUCCAAAUCCUCAAAGUUAAGCCCGGAACAAUUCCCAUCUGCCAUUUCCUUCCCACUGAUCAUAGUGUCUGGGUUCCGAACCACAAAUCUGCAUGAUCAUCACUUAGCACUGUACGUAUAAUAAGCUUGCACCCCUGUAUAAUUAUCUCCCUACUCUACUUAUUUCUGCCUCUUCAUGUGGUGUAAGAUAUAUGAUGAGAUGAAGUUUUUGGGAUUAGUGGUCGGGUUGCCUUAAAAACACAGAUUACAGAAACUGCUUGAACUUAACCCGAUCAUGUUUUCUCUUGUACUCGUAAAGCAUGCUGUUGUGGUUCUACUUAAUUUCGUUCUCCCCAAUGUUUGAGUGUUUAAUUGUUACGUUGGAUAAUGCUUGUAGUUAGAGAAGCCUUCAUUUAUAUCAAAGUCCUCAACUUGUAAAGAUAUCAAUGGUCCUAGUGCUGCCACGUGUAAGAAGAUUGAAGAAUAAAGCUGUUGAGAUAUUGUUAGACCUGUUAUGCAGUUUAGGAAAACUGUUAGUAUUGAUAAGAGAAGGUUAGAGAUGUUAGAGAGGUUAGAAAACACGUGAACAAGGCUUUAACUCAGCUGAUAUAAAGUCUGUAGUUGUGCUCAGUUGAACUUAAUGAGAAAUACAACAAGUCUCUUCUCUAUCUCUGAAAUUCUCUCUGCUCUCUCUGCUUUACUUCUUUUGUCUCUGCUCUACAUUUUUUUUCAAUCUUCCUAUCUUAACAAAACUAUCAAGAAUUAAUGCAUCCAGAAACAUAUAUACCAAGACGCAAAACAACAUAUUUUUCAUGCUCUGUCUGUAACACCAAAGCAAACUUCCUUUAUCACAAAAGGAUCAAAUUCCAGUACUAAUCUAAUCCAUCAUGUAAAGCAUACAAUCUACAAGUGCCUCCCUUAAUUUGUCCAUUGGAUAUAUAUGUCACUUUUUGGUAAUUUGGUAUAGCAGCACCACGUAGUCUUGAAAUAGUAGUGCGGCUAUACCAAAUAUACCAUUUGCCCCUGCAUUUAACAGAAAAGUAAACAAAAUUGACGGUAGAACUAUUUGUCCUAACGAAACUGCAGUUGAAAGACCAUGAGAACGAUUUUGAAAAUUGAGGGACUCAAAUGAAAAUUGGGUCUAAGUUCAAGAACCAAUAAAACGAUUAACCCAUAGAUUUUGGAUCCAGUACCACAUCCCAAAGAGAAAACCACAAGUUUGCAAGCAAGUUUGUCCAUAAUAACACUACGUACAGUAUGGGCAGUGCGCUAGACUCAUCUCACUUUCUCAACCUAUCCUAUAGUUGUCUAAAAGAGUUUCUAAUUUAAUGUACUGAGAUUUACGAAAGAAAUAUCAGAGAAACAAUUUUCAGGCAAUAAAAAAAUGUCUUGGCAAGAAAAUGUACAAUUUGUUACAUAACUUAUUAAAUAUGAACAGUUGAAAGAAAAAAGAAUCUGGAUGAGGGAUUUGCAAAUUCCUAUGGCCCAAUUACCUUUUUUUCUUUGUUGUUUUUUUUUUUUUUUUUUUGGUUCUUUUGAUCCAGUAGCAUAUUCCAAAGAAUGAAAACCACAGGCAUGCAAUGCAAGCUCUUUUCCCACGUUUUCCUCUGUUUUUCUCCUAUCAUGGAAGUGAUUAAAACACACCUCUAAGCUUGUUUUGCGUUUGGUAGCCGAGUGUAAAAGCUCAAUGCAAGAUAGUUUGAGGUAGAAUUUUCUCCUAUUUUAUUAGGACAAUGAUAAUUAAAAAAAAGUGUGAUUCAUUGAAUAUUUGCGGGGUUUUGUUCAGACCUGACAAAGUUCUAAGUCAACACAUCAAAUUCCUUUUUCCAACAUGCAACAAUUGUAUUUGAUUCCCAAUUUUUUCUGAUAUACAUCACAUCAUGCCACUUGCAUCAAAUGAAUUUAAUUGAGUGAGGCAAUGGGAAGUAAUUAAGCUCUGUAUUCGUGGGUGGAGUGUUACUUCUGGAACCCUAAUAAUUCGUCCCUACAGGACUCUAGAACUCUCAAACUUCUUACAAGGACUACUUAACUCUAUAGCUUAAUGCAUAUAGCAUAUAUAUGCAAACACAAUUAGAAAUUCUACAACAGAAGCAAGAUCAAUCUCACUAUGCCUUCUAAACAAACAAACAAAUAAAACAAGCAUAUUAAUUGCUUUAAUCACUCUACUAACAUCAACACAGCACACUUAGUUUACUAACAGAUGAUAUAGAAAGGAAAAAAAAGGACCAAUAGGGAGAAAAUGGUGAACUAAGGAGAGACUAAUACUUCUGGUCCUUAGAAGGCAUAACAGAAAUAAUAGAGCACACUGCUUGAAUGCAAGUCAGUAUUAGGAGCAAAACAGCUGCAAUGAAAGAAAUAGUUGCCCAAGGUGUAUUGAAAUAAUGUUGCCUCAAAUUUGCCUUCCAUUUGUUCCAAGGCUUUCUGCAGUAGCUAUUAAGGCGCUCAGAAAGAAUAGCAAAGUAGAAGCUUUCACGAUACACUGCAAUUCCUUUUCCGAGGUUGUUAAUCAGAGUGCACACCUCAUUGUAGUCACCAAGCAUAUUUUUGACAAUCCCAUCCUUCAGAAGGAACUCCACAUCCUUUUCGGUGUUCACAAACUCAUCCAUGAGUGAAACAUAAUCACUUAUGUAAUUCUUACGGCAAUGGCACUAUUCAAAGGCAAUGAGGUUACGGAGUGUGAGCUCUGUGUAAUCGUGUAUUUUUAGUUUUGGAAUUUCUAGAAUCCCAUCGUUGAAUUGUGUUAACGCAGCUUUCCUUUCCUAGCCUACACGGAAGUCAACUUCACAAUCUCCUCCUAGCAAUUAGUCUUUCCUGCUGUAAAUCAGAUUUCCUACUGUAAAUCGGAUUGUAUUCAUGUCUAUAUUAUUUCCUACUUUAAGUAGAUAUCUUGUACUAGUAUAAAUAGGGACUUUGUGUAAUCUGUUAAAUACAAGGAAAUAUAUACUCUGCAUGGUAUCAGCCUAACCUAGGGUUCUCUCUCUCUCCCUUAUUCGAUCCUCUUCUCCUUUAGGUCCACCUCAUGGCUUUGUCUGAAUCCACCAUCUCCCUCCCAAGCCCCAACUCUUCUAUUUUAUCAAGCUUAUUGACUCCAACUAUCUUCUUUGGCUCCGCCAACUCAAACCCUUUUUAGUCGGCCAUGACCUCUGGAAAUUUAUCGAUGGCAUUCAUAAACAACCUUCUGCCCACACCUCCACCUCUACCACCGCAACACCCACAACCACCACCACUCUUACCCAAAUCAAUCAUGCCCAUGCUCAGUGGUACCAACAAGACCAACUCAUUGUUAGCUACAUCACCAAUACACUCUCUGAGUCCAUUCUCUUUCUCACUGUUGGUUGCACCUCUGCCCGGGAUCUCUGGGAGUGUCUCCAACGCCACUUCUCUCAAUCCAGUAUGGCCAGUGAAUCUACUCUUCGUUUUAAACUCAUGGAUUUGCAAAAAGGCUCUGAACCCACUUAUGCUUACAUUCGUCAUGCUAAGUCCUUUGCCGAUUCACUGGCUGCCAUCAAUGAACCUGUCUCCCCAAAAGAACUUGUCACUACUGUGCUUUGGGGUUUAAGACCCUAUUGCAACAUCCUCGUCACAGCAAUUCUCAAUUUCCCUCUGCUUCCUAACUUUGCUAAUCUUCGUGCUCGUUUGUUAGCAUUUGACGCACAGACUCCUUGAAUCUCUCCUGAUCAAAACACAGCGCAAAUGGCCACCCAAUCCUCUCCUCACACCACCGGUCAUACUUCCUUCCCUUCUCACCGUGGUGGUGGCUCUUCCAACAACAGGCGUGGUGGCCUCGGUGGCUGGCGCAAUAGCGGCCGGGGUGGCUGGCGCAGCUUCUCAUCUUCCUGGAGCAACCCGUGGAAUGGCUUCCAGCAGCUCCAAUGACCUAAUCAACCAUGGCCUCCUUUUGCUCCAAGUUCUGGAUCUCAAAGCAACUGGCCUUCCUUUCAGCCUCCUUGGGCCUAAUCUGCCGCUUCUAUCAAACACUUUGCCCGGCCCAACUCAGCUCCUGGUGUCUUGGGACCCGCUUGGUGCACUACCUGCAAUACCAAUCACAUACUACUACAAUAUGUCCUCAUCGCUACAAUGGCCCAGAAUCCUUUCUUUGCUAGGGCUCAAUUCAUGUAGCCACCUGACUCUACUUGGUACCCUGACACAAGUACCACUCAUCAUAUGAUUGGUAGUCCUUCUAAUCUCCAAAAUCAAUCCUUCUAAUCUCCAAAAUCAACAGCCAUAUCAGGUUCAUAAUUCUGUAUUUCUUGGUAAUGGAGAUUCUCUCCCUAUCUCUCAUACUAGCUCUCUCUUUUGUCUUCCAUCUCUUCGUACUAAUCUUCUUUUUGUUGCCCAUUUUACUUGUGAUAAUUUAGUUUUCUUUGUCUUUACUCUUGACUUUUAUCAAAUCUAUGACUUAUGUACUGGUUCGUUACUCUUUCAGGGCCCUUCUAAAGAUGGUCUUUACCCACUUUCCAUCUCCUCUCACUCAUCCAUAGUCCCCCAUGCCCUUACCACCGUGCACUCUCCUGCUUGGCAUCAUUGCCUUGGCCAUCCAUUCCAUCGUGUGCUCUCUCAUUUAGCGCCAUCUCUAGGCUUUAAAGUUUCUCAUGCUUUCUGUAAGGAUUGUGCACUUAGCAAAUCCACCAAACUGUCAUUUCUUAGUAAUAAAACCUUUGCCCCAUCUCCCUUUUAUUUAAUUCACUCUGAUGUAUGGAUGUCCUCGGUCAUUUCUGUCACUGGUUAUCGCUAUUAUGUCUUGUUUACAGAUGACUUUUCUCGUUACUCCUGGAUCUAUCAUAUGCACCGUAAAAAUGAGGUCUUUUCUCACUUUCAAACCUUUCUUGCUAUGGUUAAAAAUCAAUUUCACACCACUGUACAAAUUCUUUAAAGUGACAAUGGCACUGAAUAUGUUAAUAAUGCUUUCUCUGAUCUUUGCAGUCAACUAGGCAUCCACCAACGUUUCACAUGUCCCCACACUCCCCAACAAAAUGGCCUAGCUGAACAUAAACACAGACACAUUGCCACCAUGAUCUGUCCCCGGUCAUUUAUUCAACCAUCUUGACCUUUUGCUUGAUCAUUUUCCACAAGCAACCGUCCACGUACCCCAAUAAUUUAAAAGGGCUGAUGAUCUUUAAUUUGGUGAAAGCUUCUAUCUACCUACCGUGCUAUAUAUGAGCUAUGCAAUCGUGACCGUGUUACAUGACGUCCCAAUGUCGUAGGGAUAAAAAAAUAAUAGUCAUGGUUUUCUUAUUAAUGUCAAUACAUUCAUAGCAAAGAGCUUGUAGCUCUAGUGGUUAAGAGCAAUUACCCAUGCACUUGAGAUAUUUUGUGUUUAAAUCCCCUCUUCCCCAAUAUUUCUUGUAUAAAAAUAAAAAUAACAAUAAUAAUGACAUUAAUGUUGUAUUCUAUAAAGUGUUGGACAUGUUUUAUACCCCUUUCUUGCAAAUUACAGUUUGCCACGUGUACAAAAAUAAUAGAUAAGUGUUGGACAUCAAGAGCACUUACAUAUAGGUUUAAUAGGUAAGUUUUGAAUAUUUCUGUAUUUAGCUUUAAAUAUUGAAAAUCAACCUAUUAGCAUAUUAAAGAUUUGUCCAUAUUCGACGUACAUUCUCUUAUUUUUCUCUCAUUGAAGUAAAUACAAAACUAAGCACAUAGUGGGAAAGUGCGUCACGAUUAGGGGUGGGUUUAGUCUAGGUUGGUUCAUUUUUGGGCUCAAUUUGAACACCGAACUGUAAGCUUCGGUUUGGCUAUUUUGGAAACCGAAACCAAACCAUAAUUGAUGAAAACCGACCACUUCGAUUACCUUCUGGUCUUCCAACCAGAAGAAAACUCAAAACUUUAACCAUACCAAGUGCAACAGAAUUACACCAGGCUGGAUUCAAGUUUAUGAUGGUUAAAGAUAAAAACUUAUUUGACAUACAAUUUGAGAAUGGAAUCCUCAAAAUUCCACACCUGCGAAUACGGGGUUUAACAGAAAUUUUCUUCCGCAAUCUUAUUGCCUAUGAGCAGUGUGAGCUUCAUGAUCAUUACAUCAACGACUAUGUCUUCAUCAUGGACCGCCUGGUCGACAGUGCCAGGGAUGUGGAAUUGCUUGUGAAGAGUGGAAUUCUUGAAUCUAUGCUACCGGACAGCGAGGCAGCAGGGGAAUUUAUUAAUUCUCUUGACUUGGGGCCUAUUUUAGGCAAGCUUGAAACAAGACUAUUUCAGUUCACCAUGGGCUGGCCUGUCUAUUAUUGUAGCCGCUAUACUAGUUGUGCUCACAUUUAUUCAAACAGUGUGCUCCGUAAUGGCGCUGUAGGUUCUUCAUUUCCUCAAUUUCAUGUUUAGUGGUUGCAGAUUUGUUGCUCAUGUACGUGUUUAUCUAAAGUUAAAUAAGAGUGAUUGACUGGAUUGACUGUUAGUCUGUUAGUUUGUUUUUCUGGGGUUUUUCCCCCCUGUUCGUCAAAAAAAAAAAUAAAAGAGUGAUGGCUUGUGCCUAUGAAAAUUACUUAGGAGUAUGCUCCACAGAGCCAAAAUAAAUAAACUAGGGAAGUGGAGGUUCUUCUGUUUGUAUAUAAAUGAGCAAUUCAAACUCUCAGUGCCAAGGGAGUUACCCUUGAUACAUUUGUUAAAAAUUAUAUAUUUGGUCUUACAUCAAACAAAUAAUUUGAAGGGCUUUUUUGACAACUGCUGACAGCGUUUGGCAGAAAAGUUUAGAAGCGCUUCUACGCUUCUAGAUCAUAAAAGUGCUUUACCAAAAAGCACUUAGAUUUCUUAUGAAAAUUUCAACAUUUUUAUAAUAAAAGCGCUUGCUAGAAGCACUUAUAAGCAGAAGUGCUUCAUAGAGAAGCAGUCCCAAACGAGCUUGAUUUUCAAAUGUGCUGCUUAAGAAGAAAUUUAAUACGUUUUGAAAACAAAAAAAAAUACGAAAUUUAAUACGUUUGUUUUACAAAUUGUAUUAAUUGUUAUCAAUAAUACUUGUGCACACCCACAACAUACUUCUUUCUUUCUUUAUUUUCCUUCAGUACAGUUCUGCCUUUCUUUAAUUAUUUUUAACGAAUGCAAAGAGUUUGUCACAAAAUCAAGGAUUGAAAAAAAAAGAGAGUAAAUUAUGUGCUAGAGAAACUUUCCUGCAGAAAUUGAAGAACAACUCUAGUUUCUCUCUUUCGCCUUGUACUCCCGCACUGAGGUUAGUAUUGUUAUAAUGUGCAGAUUAUACGGUCACUCUUGUAUAAUGGCGAGAAGGCUCUAAUUAUAUUUUUGAACCUCUUUGACAGGACCCGCCCCGAAUUUCCCGAAACCCAAGACGAAUUCUGUGGAAAUUCCCUACAUCACCCCGAUGUUGGGCCCACUUCUAAAACUAUAUCAUUUUUCCUAAAAAGGAAUAAGGGCACGAGACUUUCUACCGAAAUUUCGGCAGAGUCUCUCCUGUAAAUUGAACAUUUCCCAAAAUUUCAACCUGCAUAAAACACAUUUUAUAUUACCCAACUGGCAGCAUGCACAAAAUAAUAACAUGCAAUUCACAUAAACGGCCUCUGGCCCUCCGGUAAUUCAGAGCAAUGCAAACUAGCAACUCUAAACCUAAUAAAACAACAUAAGUAACAUUUAGCCAGCGGCUGCACCCAGGCACUACCCUAGGCUACCUACGUACCCUUACUAAGGGAUCAAGCCACACGUAGUUCUUUCAUACAAAAUUUCCAAAUCCAUCAACAUGCAAUCAAUUACAGAAUCCCAAACAAAAUCUUUCUCAAACAUCAUUAGUUCCCAACUCAGUAUAAUAAUCCUUAAUUCAUCUCUGUAAUAAUCACAAUAUCUCCCCAUACGCCGGAACUACCAACACCACGUAUGGAGCCUGCCUGUACGCCAGAUAACCAACGACACGUGGGACCUCAUCAUCAUAUCACAUAAUCUCCCCAUACGCCGAAACUACCAACACCACGUAUGGGGUCUGUCAACACGCCGGAUAACCUACGACGUGUGACCUCAACAUCAAAUCACAAUAUCUCCCCAUACACCGGAACUACCUACGCCACGUAUGGGGUCUGUCCACAUGCCGGAUAACCUACGACACGUGGGACCUCAUCAUCAUAUCACAUAAUAUAUUAACGAUCAAGAAAUAUCACUACGGUCAUUUAAUCCUCCUGGGAAGGUAAAACUAUCUCAGGAGACUCACGGUCAACCAAGGGUCAAACUACCUCAUACUUGGACAAACGAGCCCACGGAGCCCACAACCUCCGUUUUACUAUCCAAGAGUUCCUAUAGGUUCUACAAGGUUUAGGAUACACGGCUUGCAAGUUUGGUCAAGAUCAGACGGUCGGAUCGCUCACGAUAGGACGGUUACUGCAAACCUAGCCCUAGGGUUGGCAUUUUCGGAGUAUCCGAAACUCCGUUUUACGAUCUGUCGAAUCAUAGACGAUCCUAAGGAUUUGCAGACUAACUAUAAUAAAUUCAAGACCAUCCAACGGUCUAAACCUAUCGAACCCGGAUAACGCGCAAUAGGCAAUAUCCAAAUUGAAAUCCGAGCACACCUACGCACUCGUGAGGACUAGGAGAUUACAUCGGGACAUAGUGCCCUUUUUCUACAGUGCCCAUGAGCCGCCGCACGCACCAGCAACGCGUGGGUGCCCAAAGCGAUUAUGCAUCGCCAAAAAAUCUCAAAACCACGGCUCAAGACUCCUACCCUAGGUAUAACACCCUAUUUGGAACCACUUUUGUUCUUGGACCUACCCCAAAAACUGAUCAGAAGUGGCCGGAAUGGCUGAAAUGUAAUUCAAAAAUCAAGCUACCAACGCUCAAAAUCGAUGCAAUCCUACCCAACCAUCAACUAGAUUAUGAAGAAUGGAUAAAUUUCCAUACCUUGAUCGCCAACAAUGGCGGCCGGAGGAGAGAGAUCUGAUCCGGCGAAGUUCGAGUGAAAACGGCCAAAAAUCAUCUUUUUCAGGCGGCUGGAGGGCGACCGAUGUCAGGGAAGGGCAGGGUCGUGACGCUAAGGCUGAGCCUGUCCUUUUGGCACCGGUCCCUUCCGCAGCCGUGUCCGGUGGCUGGAGUUUCGAAGAGAGAGAGAGAGAGAGAGAGAGAGAGAGAGAGAGAAAUCUGAUUUUUAUCAAACCUUUUUGCCAAAAUUACGGUUAUGCCACUGAGGGUAUUUUGAUAGUAUCUCUCUCGUUACAACUUCGAUUCGAGCCCACCACGUGUGUACGGACUCAUCUAACUGUGUUGUACGCAACGGUAUAGUCGAAAUUCCCAAAUUAUUUCCUUGUCAAAAAGUCAACUUUAAACAUUAUAAAAUAUUUUAGGGAAAAAAUGGUAUUUUCUCUCAAUAAAUUAGUAACUAAUUUAUUUAGGACUGGGUCAUUAUACUCUUUUUCGCUUCAAUGGAUGGGAAAAAAUUUUAUGUAAUAUCCCACAUCGACCAACGAAGAGGGGGCGAUGUGUCUUAUAUGUACAUGCCCGCCUCCAUCUAGCAUAAGGCCUUUUGGAAGCUCACUGGCUUCAGAGUCAUGGGAACUCCGAAGUUAAGCGAGUUGGGGGCUAGAGCAAUCCCAGGAUGAGUAACCCACUGGGAAGUUGCUCGUGAGCUUCGAGAAACAAAACCGUGAGGGCAGAGAGAGGGGCCCAAAGCGGACAAUAAGGCCUCGUGCUAGAUGGAGGCGGGCAUGUACAUAUAAGGCACAUCACUCUCUCUCCGUUGGUCGAUGUGGAAUGUUAGAAUGGAAUUGUUACCUUUGGUGUGGAGGUGUUCUAUCAUUUGAGCAAGAAAUUCCCACAUAUUCUUCAACUAUUUUUCAAGCAUGCAUAUUCCUCCCUAUCAAUCUUUGGUUUCUUCCUUUACUGUGCAUAGUAAGGAUCCAGUCAGGGACGGACCGUCGCUAUGACUAUCCUGGGCUAUAGCCCAGGCAAAUUAUUUUUUUUUCUAGUCUAAAAUAGCAAUCCCACCGCUUGCUGUAGUACUUGUUCAGUUCGUCACAAACAUGAGCAUAAUAGAAGUUAUCAACAUCUAUAUAGGAACCCCAAUGAAAAGGCUGUUAACUAAUAAUGAAGUUAACCCGUCAAUUUUUCCGCAUAUCAGAUAUCUCUCAGAAUAUGCGAUUCCAUAUUCAAUAAGCCACUCCACAUGCCCUGAGGUUUUCAUCAAACCACCCAUUAAGGAAACAUACUGACUCAUGUAAUUAUCAUUACUCAUCGGGUAAUGCAAUUGUUCAAAGGCAAGGACAUUUCUCAUUAUUUAUGUAGCGAACCCCAAUGGAAAUGGUGGGAUCUUCAGAACCCCAUCGGUGCUACUGAAUUGUAUGUCAAAUAUGUUUUCACCUUGUCACGCCUCAAACUUGACUCCAGCGUGCUGUAAUUCUGUCAAGCUGGGUAUGGAUGAUGGGAGUUUGAUGCAGGAGCAUAGGGGUGGAUCAAGAUAGAUAUUUACUAUUUAAUUAGUUAUUUCAUGAUAUAUUGUUAUUUUCUUAUUUAGGUAGUUUUAUGAUAUCUUUUAUUAUUUAUGUGUGAUUUUAUAAUUAAUUAGUAUACUUUUGGACCAAGUAGCCUUGGUGCUCAAGUCUUGUAAAGCCUAUAAAUAAGGCUAAUGUAAUAGUUGUAGAAUAGAUGUCGAUGAUUAAUAAAAUCGUUUAUUUGUGGCAUGGAUUUGCUACGAUAUAUGUGAGUUUGCACUAGCCCUAGAUUUCAGUGCUCGUGUAUGUGGUUGGUGACCUGUGUCCGGAUCCCGAUCCCCAUCAAUUGGUAUCAGAGCUAUGGCUCAAGAUCUGCUAUAUCGGGGAGGUUUUUGGAUGGAGGGUCGUUUUAACAACUACAACGACAUGGAGGAAAUUAGGAGGAUGCUACGGCAACUUAUGGAACACAUUGCUCGCAUUGAAGCUCGAACCCAGAUAGGUAAGAGUUCUGACGGGGAGGGAUGUGUGAACCCUUAUCUGAACCGAGUAGCUCGCAUCGACACUCUAAGCCGUGAGAGUCUCGACGGGGAGUACGAGGGAGAUAGCCCUUUUCAUUAUUGUGCUCCGCUGUGUGAGUCAAGUGAAGAGGGGCACGGUUAUUCUCAUUGUGUCUUUGAAGGUAUAAAUGAAUUUAGUAAUUUUGGUGCAUCUUGUUAUUCAUCAAAGUUAUUAAAUUUGGAUUUACCUCCAUUAUUUGAUCCUUGCAAUUGUGAAAAUUGCAAUAAAAAUUGUUUGGGUGUUCAAAGCAAUUUUGAUAAGCAAUUUAUUGACCAGAACAGUGAAGAGAUGAGAAUUGAGAAAACUUUCGAAGAUAUUAUUGAUUUUAUGGGCAUUAAUAUUUUCACUUGGAAGGUUGCCAAAAAUCUGGUUGAUUUUGUCAAUCGGUUGAAGAUUCUAGAGAGAAACAUUUGCAUUGCUAGAGGGAGUAAGAAGUCAAGAAUAACGAAAUAUUCCAAAUAUCUUUUUAUUUGGAAAGGAAGGUUUCAAUUGGAUGCUAAAAGAUCCAAAAUUAAUAUGCAGCAAUUGAAGAUUCUACUCGGAUUUUCCUUAAUCAAAGGCUUGAAUUCGAGGACGAAUUCUUUCCAACUAUGGGAGUCUGAUGCAGGAGCAUAGGGGUGGAUCAAGAUAGAUAUUUACUAUUUAAUUUGUUAUUUCAUGAUAUAUUGUUAUUUUCUUAUUUAGGUAGUUUUAUGAUAUCUUUUAUUAUUUAUGUGUGAUUUUAUAAUUAAUUAGUUUACUUUUGGACCAAGUAGCCUUGGUGCUCAAGUCUUGUAAAGCCUAUAAAUAAGGCUAAUGUAAUAGUUGUAGAAUAGAUGUCGAUGAUUAAUAAAAUCGUUUAUUUGUGGCAUGGAUUUGCUACAAUAUAUGUGAGUUUGCACUAACCCUUGAUUUCGGUGCUCGUGUAUGUGGUUGGUGACCUGUGUCCGGAUCCCGAUCCCCAUCAGAGUUCCCCUCCAGCUUUUGAUUCCAACGGUUGAUAGAGUUUAAAUAUUUUCCUGAAAAGAUCAAUAAUAUGUGCCACUGAUCUAAAAGUCUCCAAAUUGUCUUCCAAUUUGUCAACAGGCAAUAGAUGUUCGAAGAAACUGAAAGAAAUACAAAUUAUUGAAAGCCCCUCAGUAAUGCUGUUAUUGUCAGCAUUAGCAGGGAGUGUAAUUUUCUGUGGGUCGAAAAGAUCCUCGAGAAUGAAGAAUGGCAACUGAUUUUCAAGCAACCACGUAUCUGUCCAUGCAUCUUGCAACAUACCUGGUUUGUCAAAUAUGCGGUCAUUUUCGUCCCAAAAUUUGAAGUAGUCCUUCAAUAAGGGCUCAAUAACGAAGGCGGCGCCCACUAGAAUGAUUGUUACAAAUUCAUCACUGCUAAACUUGAUGGGUUCUCCAUAACAACGUCUCAAUCUUGCUUCGUGGUCCUUUAUUUUCUUAAUAUAAUCCUCCAAACUCACAUUGGUCCGACCUAUAAAAUCUUGCAGGUAUCUCUGUUUGUUCUCUUCCAAUACGACAUUCAAGCCUUCCUUUCCAUGGUGAAGUGGACCUAUAGAGACCGACUGCCUGAGGUGUGCAGAGCUUUUCAUUCACACAUACGUAGAUAAAAUGUCUGGGGGCUCAGAGAGUGAUGAAUGUGCAACAGCUAAUGGGAGGGUUUAUAUUCCUGAAGUAAGAAAUGAGGAAACACCAGCAGUUGGGAUGAAGUUUGACUCGCUUGACCUCGUUUACAAUUUCUAUAAUAGAUAUGCAUUCUUGGCUGGCUUUGGUAUUCGACUUCAUUCUAGCUUUUGGGGGAAAAAUAAGAAAGAGAUUUUGAGGAAAGAAUUUGUAUGUUGCAAACAAGGUGCAUACAAGAAGGAUGAAACUCGGGAGAGAAAAAGACAACGGGGAAUAAGUAGAUGCAAUUGCAAAGCAAAGAUUGUGGUUGUGAAGACAAAUGGGAGCAAGAAGUAUACCAUUUCUCUUUUUGCAGAGGGACACAAUCAUAAGAUGACACCCUCAGAAAGAAUGCAUUUAUUGAGAUCACACCGUCAUAUUUCAGAUUCUACAAAAGUACUCACAAAACAGUUGGGUUCAGUUAAUAUUCCCAUUCAUCAGAAGGUAAGUAUAUUCGAGGUGCAAUCCGGAGGAAUGGAUAAAAUCGGUUUUAUCAAAAAAGAUAUCUACAAUCUUGAAUGUAGUGUGAAUGGGAAGCUGAGGAACCACGAUGUUGAACUAGUGACCGAGUAUUUUAUGGCUGAACAGAAAAAAAAUGAGGCUUUUUAUUUCAAGAUUGAGGGAGAUGGGCAUGACAGGUUUAGUCGAUGUUUUUGGGCAGAUGCAACUUCUAGACGGGCGUAUGGGUUUUAUGGAGAUGUUGUUGUAUUCGAUACCACAUUCAACACGAAUCGAUACGACUUGACAUUUGCACCAAUGUUGGGAGUUAAUAACCAUGGUCAGACAAUUGUCUUAGCAUGCGCAUUUUUGAGCAAGGAAACGACUGAGUCGUUUGUUUGGAUGUUUGAGGAGUUUAAGAAAGCCAUGCCAGGUGGGGAACCUAAAACGAUCAUUACAGAUCAAGAUGCGGCAAUGGCCAUAGCGAUUUCAAUAGCCUUCCCGAGUACAUUUCAUCGACUUUGCAUAUGGCACAUCACAUCAAAGUUCUCUGUUAAGUUACCACGUGACGCUUAUAAGGAGUAUUGGCCUGAAUUUCAGAAAGCCAUAUGGGAUACUGACAAUAAGGAUGAGUUUGAUGCAAAAUGGAAUAUUGUGGUUAUAAAGGCUGGUUUGACUGACCAUCCAUGGCUAAGUUCAAUGUUUGAUUUAAGGGAAUCUUGGGUUCCAGCCUACGCACGACAAUUUUUUGCCGCUGGAAUGUCAAGCAGCCAAAGAGCGGAAGGUUCUCAUGGUUUUUUCAAGCAAUACAUAUCAAGGAGAAAUUCGUUGAUGGAUUUCAUAAUACGAUUUGAGAGGGCAUUUUCUCAUCAACGUGAAAAAGAGUUAGUUGCUGAUCACGUAGAUGCAUUUGAAGUGGCUCAAUGUCUUCUACCGAUGCCAAUGAACAAACAAAUGGCUACCUUGUACACAAGGACAAUGUUUCAAAAGUUUGAGCAAGAACUAAUACAAAGUACAGCAUGUUUCCUAGAGCUCAAAACAGAGGAUGCAUGUAAAGUUGUGUUCAACGUGAGCGAAAGGAAAAAUUGGGAAACAAGAGUGGCAGAAGUCGUAUAUGUCAAAGAUUCUGACCACGCAUCGUGUAGCUGCAAAAGAUUUGAAUUUGUUGGAAUUAUUUGCAAGCACAUCCUAGCAUUGUUCAGAAGGGACCAGAUUGAAUAUAUGCCCGAUAAAUAUAUUUUGAAGAGGUGGAAGAAAACUGCGAAAUGUGGAUUGGUGUCAGAUGCAAAUGGCAACGAAAUUAAAGACUGUGCAGAUCCUGGCCUUCUAAUAAAGCGGAGUACAAUGUCUCGACUUGCUUCAAAUGUGGUUGAGGAUGCAUUAAUGAGUGAAGAAGGAUGUGAGCUACUGUCAGAGACUCUAAAAAGUUUGCAGGUGAAGUUGAAGUUGCUGAAGGAUGGACCAAGUAAUAACGAAGUUGGAGGGUCCAGCUCUCAAACACAAUAUAUGAAAGACCCUAAGAGAGUGAGGUGCAAAGGAAGGUCGAAAGGAAUAACGGGAGCAAAGGAAAAGGCAAUGAAGCGAGGGAUUAGACACUGUCGGGAGUGUGGACACAUUGGUCAUGAUAGAAGACAAUGCCCAGCCUUGAACACACCGUAAGAUGCUACCACUAUUUGUAAUAAUAUCUAAAAUAUGAAAAGGUAAAAUUUUUAUGUGCUUGUGUUUGAUGUUUAUGCAGGACAUCACCGUCGAACAAUGACAAAUCAACUCCAAUACAUCGUAGUGACCCAUUAUUCGACGAUUUUGACAAGAUGCACAGACCAACUGAAUGAUUGAUAUUUGUAUUAGACGAAAUGUGGUUGUUAUGAAGAUUAAUGAUCAAGUGAAGUUUUAUAGAUUCAGUUUUUGAAUGUUAUUGUGUUUUUGUUCAUGUCCACCGAUGAGCUCUUACUAUGUCCACUGGUAAUUGAAAUGAAAAUUUUCUUGGUUUCAUUCUUCCAAGACAUUUGGAGACAUGUUAAUUUUACGUCUUCUCCCUAUUUAUAAAUUUUCAUAGACAUUUGAUCAAGUUUGAAAUUUGUAGUUAUGUGAAGAAGCAAUGACUCUUACCAUGUAAAAUGGGCAGUUUAGGGUGAAAUUUGUUUUAACAGAGAUUCAUUUUUCAAUUCCUCAGGGUAAUGCAGCAAUUACAGCAGCCAGCUGUUGUUUCCAUUACCAGUAAUCAUUUCCAGCAGCAGCCACUUUUUCCGACUGGUUAUUAGGGGCACGAUUUUGUACACUUUUGUAAGUGAAGGAUACUCGAAGCACUUUGUUGGAACAGAGCAAAUAGAAACCAGCGGGUAAAAAAAAAACAUAACAUUGCAGCUAAUUACAUUUCGAUACAUAGGUGAAAAAUAUUAAAGGGUACACUAACUUACAUAAAUACUCAUAAUUCCACACACAAAAGAACAUUUGAUUGCAAAACAUAUUAUGUGCUUCCUCAUAGCAAUACCACGAUCUCCCCAACCAACUGAACAACGGUAGCCACAAUCACUGGGUCGUACUCGUCAGCUUCUUCUUAGCAGGUCUCACAUGCUUAUGGCCACUCAUAUCCCUAGUGAUAUACACGAAAUAAAUCUUCAGCAAUAUUUGGAAUUUUAUUAUAUAUAAAUAAACCAUAAACCAUUCAGUAAACAAUGUAUAGCACAUGUUAUGUAACUUAUGACUCACGUGUCAGUUUUUUUUUUAACACAUUAGUACUCCAGCUCUUUAAUGUAAAUGGACAUGAUAAGGAGCAUUUACUGAUUCCCGGCUUUCUAUGAUAUUGACUGCUUCUUGAAUAAUAUUUCCAUAUUUGCAAAAUAUAAUGUUAGACAUUAUAACACAUGAUGACUUGCAAUACAUAGUCCCAAUAAUUAUAUAUCAAGCAAAUGAAACUGAUAUUUGUGUUAUUUUAAGUUAGAUAAUGACAUUAAGGGAGUAUAUGUGCAAUACCACGGUCACCCUCAACCAACUGAACAGCGGUAGCCGCAAUCACUUAGUCGUAUCGGUCGGCUUCUUCCGAGCAGCUUUGACGUGCUUAUGCUCAUUCAUGUCACCCCCAUCGUCUAGUAUCUCUCUCACAGCAUCAGGGGACACAUAGUUCCAAUCAUAACUUGUAUGAGUAGUUGCCGCAAAUGCUCGGAAUUUGUCGAAUCCUUCGUUGAAUGCCAACUCCAGUUCAGUAUGGUGCUCUUCGCAUCGCAUAUGGUUCAUCAAACAACCUUUGAUUUCAUCAUUCAUUACUGUAUCCAACUCCUCAGCUUUCAGCUUCCUGCUAUGACUCAGCUUCAAGUACUUGUUCUUUUGGGAUAACGCUUUGUUCACCCUAAUGUUAAGAUCAGCCAAAAUUGCCUCGUCUUCAACACAUUUCUCGUGCCAUGAAUUGAUCAGUCUGGAAUUAUAAUCCAGCUUGCCACUGACUGCAUGUAUUGCCUGUAAUGGAUCAUCGGAGUCCCCCUCACUCCCAAAUGAUGUUGAAAAAGGAAGGGGUCGGCGAGUACAAUGUGGAAAUAGAACCUGCCACUCCAAUUUGUCAUCUUCGAUUGUGUUGUUGGCGCCUGAAGAGGUUGACAUGCUUGAAUAAUCCUCUUUGUUUUGGGAGGAUGAGGAUUGCAUAUGCAAUUUCGUUUGAGAAAGGGAACAUAGGUUUAUAGACCAACAUACCAAAGCUUGUGUGUAGUCAACAUAUGUACUUUUUGGCGGGAAUUUUUUAAAAAUAGGUGUUAGGUUUUGCUUUUCAAGCAUGUCAACCUCACACUCUCCUGACACCACUGCUAGUGGUUGAAACAAAGUCAAUGGAAGUGACAUCUACUUAGUUAACUCAACCAAACUAGUUAGGAUUAAACUUAGAUUGUAUCAGACCAAAAAAUAAUUUCUACUUUGUCAACCAAAUAUUUUUUGGCGGGAACCCUUUUCUUGGUAUUACUAUCACCCCUUUCAUAUAAAAUCUCCUUCCACACAAAACUCACUCCUCCACCGAAUCUGUCUCCAUCUACCGAUACUCUCUCAAGCAAACAAACUCAUUCCCCCCAAAGAAUGAGCAUAAGCACAACCAAGUUUGAUGUGAGCAUAAUAAACACCCCUCCAAACAAAGACCGGCUUCGACACGCAAGUGAGUCACCGGACAAGCAAUGUCACAUUGCUAGACAGAAUGACCAUUUUGUUGGAAGUUUUGAGUCUGAAAGAGUUGUUGCUUUUUGGAAGGAGAGGCAUCUUCAACUUGGUGAUGAAAUCCAAAGGGCAAGGGCACGUUUGGAAUUUGUGGAAGGCCAAAUUGAAGAUGACAAAAGGCAGGCCAAUCUGGAUAGGGCGAAGUUGUAGCGCAUGAAGCGUAGACACAAACGACUUCGGAGUGUAGCUGUUCAAAAAUACAAGAACUCAUCUAAUGUAGUGGAGUCAAAGAAGCGUGUGAUGCAAGCUGGAUUCGACUACUUCCGAUCCUAUGCAAAACUCGUCGUACCCGGGUUUGAUUGGUCAUCUAUUACCGUUUCCGACGUCACCAAAUAUACUCAGCAAGGGAAGUAACCAUUUUGGUUCUCGUGUUUUAGCAGAGGCAAAUAAGUGGAAUUGGAAUUUUGGUUACACUCUGCUUCAAAGCUAUUUUGAUGCUAACUACUAUGGAAGAUUUAAACCUUAAUAUUUUGAUGUCUUUAAUUACGAAAACAGAAGAUGCAAAGAGCUCAUCUACUUCAGCCAUAUGUUGCUGCCAUGUCCAUUUGUUUUUGAUCACUUAUCAGAUUUGGACAUGGUUGCAUCAUAUGCAAUGUUGCCUUUAUUUAUUAUAUGUUAGGACAAGGUUUAUGGAAAAGCUUUUGUGAGUGCGUUUGUGACAAGGUUAUGGAAUUAUUAUGUACACUUUAUAUAUUGUUUUUUGUACUGGUUCAUUUCCUACUAUUUCUUGCUUUCUUUAUAUUUUAUGUUUGUGGAAUCCCUCUCAAAGUUAACAUAUACUGUGAAAAAAAUAUUAUGCAACUGAUUAUAUAAUCACUCAUAUAGACUAGGACAAAUAUUCACUAAGGGUUUUAAACUUGCUUCACUUGUGUGAUGUUAUUGACAAAAAGUAUGGCAUUAUUUAUGUGAUUUGACAUGAUUGAAAAUAUAUUACUGAUUCCCAAUGCGGCGUCAUAUGGACAACGUAUUGAAUACCUGUGACGUGUUAAUAACUCAAGGUGCAGUUGCAUGUGGACAACUUCUUGAAUACCUCUGACGUGUUGAAAACUCUAGGUGCAGUUGCAUGUGGACAACUUAUUGAAUACGAACUGACGUCUUCAAAGCUCUAGGCGUAGUUGCAAUGAUGGCUUCAAAGCAUGUGCAAUUAUUUUUUAUGUACAUUAUUAUAACAAAACAUAUUAUUGUAUAUAGUGAAACUAAAUAUUGUAUUAUUAGAAAUUAUAUUUCGAAUAUUAUCCGAAAUAUACGUGUUAACGUGAAUUUGGGUUAAGAGGAAAGUGAGUUAUGUACAAAUAAUUUUCAUUUUCUCAUUUUCCGGGCAUUUUUUGGAUUUUCGUAGAAUUUAUUACCUAUGUCCACAGAUUGUUGCACUAAAAAAGCCAAAAUAAUAGCAAGAGGACACCUGGAGCGAUCUCAGCCCGUCACUGAUGACUACUUGCACAAGUGUACGUCAGUCAACAUGGCCACACCCUCCCAUUUUACCCUAAAUUAUUAUUUUAUUACUUUUCCUUACAAAAAUCAGAACUAAUUACACACAAAAUAAAAAAAUUAUCCGAAAAUUGCUACGAACUCAUUGACACUCCAUCUCCGUUGCUGAAUUCUCCGAUUCAUUGUUACGUAUUUGUAAAAUUAAUUCCCAACAUUAACGGGAGAUGCUUGUUGAAGUAGGUUAUUCAAGUUGAAGUUAACAAACAUCAAUACUUAGGGUUAAGAGGAAAGUGAGUUAUGUAACACAAUUUGGAUUAUUUCAUUGCGAGACGAAUGAUUUAUAGGUUCUCCUAGUUUUAUGACGUCACAAGUAGGCCGGAGUAAUUUUUGGGGCAUUUUUACGAUUUUCCUACUAUUUUUUACCUAGUUUCAAAGAUUUUUGAACAAAAGAAUCCAAAAUGUAAAAGAAGAUGACACCUGGCGCGAUCUCAGCCCGUCACUUUUCACUACUUGCACAAGUGUACGUCAGUCAACAUGGCCACAUCCUCUCAUUUUACCCUAAAUUAUUAUUUUAUUACGUUUUGUCUUGGAAAAUUCAUAACUAAAUACACAAAAAUUCAAAAUUAUUUCUGAAAAUUGCUACGAACUCAUUGACACUCCAUCUCCGUUGCUGAAUUCUCCGAUUCAUUGUUACGCAUUUUUAAAAUUAAUUCCCAACAUUAACGGGAGAUGCUUGUUGAAGUAGGUUAUUCAAGUUGAAGUUAACAAACAUCAAUACUUAGGGUUAAGAGGAAAGUGAGUUAUGUAACACAAUUUGGAUUAUUUCAUUGUGAGACGAAUGAUUUAUAGGUUCUCCUAGUUUUAUGACGUCACAAGUAGGCCGGAGUAAUUUUUGGGCCAUUUUUACGAUUUUCCUACUAUUUAUUACCUAGUUUCAAAGAUUUUUGAACAAAAGAAUCCAAAAUUAACAAGAAUAUGACACCUGGCGCGAUCUCAGCCAGUCACUUUUGACUACUUGCACAAGUGUACGUUACCGAACAUGGCCACAUCCUCCCAUUUUACCCUAAAUUAUUAUUUUAUUACCUUUUUUCUUGGAAAAUUCAUAACUAAAUACACAAAAAUUAGAAAAACGAUCCGAAAAUUUCUACGAACUUAUUGCGAUUUCAUCUUCCUACUGCAUUCCCUGUUUAAUGGUUAUGCUACAUUAGUAUUUUAUUAUUAUUUAUCCACAAUUAUUAUAAUUAUUAUGAUAUUACUUUUUAGGCUGUCCAUUUGUUAAUUAUACCACAUCCAACUUGUUGAAAACAAUUUUAUUUUCCGUGCGAAUAGGCCAUUUGUAGUGCUUAUCGGUUUCUCUGUUCUUCAAUUUGUUAAUUUUUUUAUUUUUUAGGUUGAAGGGAUGUUUUGAAACAUAAUAUGGAAAUAUACAAGUCAUCCAUUGUACUCCUUCCACACAAAAAAAUAGUCUACGUCAUUCACUGUUCAACACCCUAGGUUAAGACACGUGUAACCAAAUCCGUUCGGAUAUGCUAAGUGGGAAAAUGUCAUUCCCAAGCACUGGUGAAAAGACACUUAUUUACUCCAUGCAUGACUUUUGGUUUACCAAAUAUGAAGAUUGGGGUCGGUGAGCAAAAUAUCUGUGUCAGUAAAAUGUCAUUCCUAGCCAUCUAUGAUGUAAGUAAUAAUUCCGCUAUAUAAUAAAUAUUAUACAUUUAUAUAUAAAACGGUUUAUGACAAAAUACCAACAUUUGAACAACAUUUAAACUGAGAUAGGUAUAACGUAGCCAGCCAACCUAGAAGUGAAGAGAAGCAAGUCCACAAUGCAUCAAAACUGUAAAUUCGUACUAAAACUAAUGCAAAAAUACGUGAUUCCCUCGCACAACUUACUCACGCAGGAUUUUGCACCAAAAAAUACUCUCACGGUGCCAUUUGCAUCGGUUGCAGCAAGUCCAAAACGCAGGAUUUAUCUUGUCUUCACUAGGCCACCCUGGAAUAACAAAAUACCAUUCAUUGUUGUUACAAGCGCUGCACCGAUUGAACUUAAUCUUCCCAUAGUCAAACAUAUCUACGAUAUGUCUUGCAACAAAUGCUCCGCGACAUCUUCCUGUUAAAGCAUCCCUGGUUCCUUUCAUAUCAAUGUUGUUACGUUGAUUCAAAGAACACAAGAAUUGUAAUGCAUCCUCUUUUGACUGACCAAUUCCGGACAUACCAAGUAGUCCAACUACAUAUGCCGCUUCCAUAUGGCCUGCCGUGGCUGCAAUGCGCAUCCCAUACAACGCUUCCACCUUACCGUCUGUGAAAAAACCUUCGAAUGCUUCUCUAAAUAUGGACUCAGGGUUAUCGCAAGCCCUGCAUUGUUGCAAGAAAUGCUGGACUGCAGGUUUGGCACGGUAGCAGAUAGGAUGGUGUGGGUACUUUGCCAUUGAAAUGGUGUUCCACACUUGUGGACUGUUUGCCAAAAUGUUGAACAAUCGGCACACACAUGCCAUACGGAAGAGAUCUUCCGAUGAUUCGGUUGCCACGUAUAACAUCACUUGAAACCAAGCGGACUCCGGGAUAAAGGCUUCGGGCAUAUCGAAAUGGAGAUGCUUCCUUCUCUUUCCUCCGACUGUAGUGAAGUGUUUCGAAUUCAUUGAAAAGUUUUUGGAAUGGAACGAUUUGAGGAGUGGCAGAGGGGAUAAAUGAUAAUAUUUGGGGUACACGUUCUACUUCCGAGCCUCUGUUUAUAGUGUUUUGAAAAGGUGUUUCCAGUUGGGGUUUUUCCAAGUUGACCCUUUUGAAAGAAACUGAAUCCAAGUGAAUUAAAACUUAAGACAAAAGAAGGGAAAACGUCAUAACGGUGCAUACAGAGUCAGACAGUUAAAAAGUUAAUUAAAUGGCUAUUUGCAUAGCCAUUUUUGGGUUUAUCCCACUAUCAAAUUCAUUGAUACAAAUGUGAUGGAUUACUGACUAGUGACAGAAGGUCCCAUCAUAUACUUUUUCAUUUUCGCACACCCAACUAUCCCUAGUAAUGUUAUUAAAAUGGAACCAAUAAUGACGGAUUCUUAUCCAACUAGUUGCCUUAAUGAAAUAUAAAUAAAUUAAUAAAAUUGAAGCAGUGUCCCGUCAUUAGUCAGAAAAUAUAUUUGGUAGUGAAGUAGUUUCUAUUGCUUUUCGGGCUAAAAGAUGUCACAAUGCUGACGGUACAGGUGUCGACAUCGUGACCAACCCACCAAAUGAUCCCAAAAAAAAGUAAUAUAACUCGAUUUGGGCAGAGAUGAGAGAGAGCUGAGUGACAAGUUUAGGGUUAUGAGUGAAGGGGUAUGAAUGACAACUAUGAGUGAGAAGGUAUGAGUCCGAAGAGGUUUCAGUGAGAAGAUUUGAGUGAGAAGAGGUACAACUGAGAAGAUUCAACAUGUCUUCGUCUUCAUCUCCUGCUCAAACAAAGAGGUGUCAGUAUUGUGGAGCUACAAUGGUGCUUCGGGUUUCAAAAUCUGAAAAAAAAUCGAGGGAAGCCAUUCUGGAAGUGUCUAACCUCCUAUGUAAGUUUUAAUUUAAAGAAUAUGUAUGUGGGUGAAAAAAAACCUAUGUCUAACUCUGACAGAAUUAUAUUCCAUAUAUGAUGCCUGCAAUUAGGGAGCCACCAGUUGCAAUGGAUUCGAAUGGGUUGAUGUAACCUCCGCUGAAGCAGAACAUCAAGAUGACACGUAUGAUGUUAGAGUGCUGAACAUGCUGAAGUCCAUUAAGGACUUGGUAUUAGUUUUAUUAGUUGUAUUAAUUGUCAUUUUAUUUGUUCUUUUAAUGAUCAUUUAACUGCACGGUUUAAAAGAUUGUGAAAGUUCUCUCGCACAAGACAUAUUGCACGCACCACCAAUGAGACCCUAAACCCAUUUUGUAAUAUUUGGUAACUGCAUGUAUUUCGCAUGUUAUUGAAUGUUUAUUGAAGGUUUAUUGAUAGUUUGCUGCAUGUAUAUGGAAUAUCAUUGCCCCAAAAUUGGAUGUUUAUUGGGGCCACAAGUAUCACUCAAGUAAGAAUGAAGGGGAGAAACGGACCUUAUUCUUUCUUAUAGUAGGAAGAACAACUGUUAAGUUUAAUAUCCUAUUCAAUACGACUUCCCUAUGGUUGGUGUACUUGGGGACUGAAGUAUAUUGCAUCAUUAUUGUGGGCAAGGGCAUGUCUAUUGUGUGUGUUAAGGGAGUAUUGUGUGGGCAAGGGCAUGUCUACUGUGUGUAUAUUGCAUGUCUACUGUGUGUAUAUUGCAUAUCUAUUCUCUGUAUAUGGCAGGCCAAGUUUGUGUAUAUUGUUUGUCUGUUGUGUGUGUAUUGCUUGUCGGUGCGUUUGUGAAUUGUGGUUCAUUUUGUGUAUAUUGUCUUUGUUUCUACUUUUAUGCUACUGAGCUGCGGAAAACCUCGCAUGUUUAGACACCUAUUAUGAUGCAACACAUUGCGAUUAAUGGUGGCUUGCAUCAACAAUGACAUAUCACUUUGCAAUGAUGUAAUACACUUAAAAAGCCGUCUUCAAAUCCCAAUUCACAUAUGCAGUCUUAAAAUUCUAAUUCAAUGCAGUUUGGUUAACAAACAUGUAAAUGUCAUGAAGGAGUUAGCGGUAGAAUUCGAUAAGGACCCGUACGUCUCUAUUGUGUAUUUACAUUAGUUUGAGAAUGGACAUUCCCAAAACCUUCUCAUGUACCAUUUGUCAUCUUCAACCAAUAUCAUGGGAAGUAAGCAUCUCCCCUUGUUAUCUCCGCAGCCAAUUUCAACCGAAAAAAAGGCAUGUUGUGCGAGGUGCAAGUAGCUAACGGAAGCUUAGCGCUGAAAAGCUCAAUGUACUUUAACACAAACAUGCCACAAUCGCCUCUGAAGCAAAACAAGAACUCGAUCAAUUCAACUAAUGACAUUCUAAUGUAAUUGACAAUUGAAAGUAAUAAAAUUAAAUUGCAAGUUGUGCUUACUCAUUAGACUGUUGUGGAACAUCCACACGCUCUAUUGGCCACGGACACCACCAAUCUCGGCUGCAAUUGUUUGCAUAAACACCUUCUUCAUAAAAGUCGAUGGUGUUGAGAAGAUUUGGAAGCGUAAUUGAUAGCGGGCCGAGUUCUUCCUUUACGAUGUCAUCUGGAAUUAGUGAAACCUUUGAAUCGUACACUUUGAUUCACACAAUACCAGAUCAAACANNNNNNNNNNNNNNNNNNNNNNNNNNNNNNNNNNNNNNNNNNNNNNNNNNNNNNNNNNNNNNNNNNNNNNNNNNNNNNNNNNNNNNNNNNNNNNNNNNNNNNNNNNNNNNNNNNNNNNNNNNNNNNNNNNNNNNNNNNNNNNNNNNNNNNNNNNNNNNNNNNNNNNNNNNNNNNNNNNNNNNNNNNNNNNNNNNNNNNNNNNNNNNNNNNNNNNNNNNNNNNNNNNNNNNNNNNNNNNNNNNNNNNNNNNNNNNNNNNNNNNNNNNNNNNNNNNNNNNNNNNNNNNNNNNNNNNNNNNNNNNNNNNNNNNNNNNNNNNNNNNNNNNNNNNNNNNNNNNNNNNNNNNNNNNNNNNNNNNNNNNNNNNNNNNNNNNNNNNNNNNNNNNNNNNNNNNNNNNNNNNNNNNNNNNNNNNNNNNNNNNNNNNNNNNNNNNNNNNNNNNNNNNNNNNNNNNNNNNNNNNNNNNNNNNNNNNNNNNNNNNNNNNNNNNNNNNNNNNNNNNNNNNNNNNNNNNNNNNNNNNNNNNNNNNNNNNNNNNNNNNNNNNNNNNNNNNNNNNNNNNNNNNNNNNNNNNNNNNNNNNNNNNNNNNNNNNNNNNNNNNNNNNNNNNNNNNNNNNNNNNNNNNNNNNNNNNNNNNNNNNNNNNNNNNNNNNNNNNNNNNNNNNNNNNNNNNNNNNNNNNNNNNNNNNNNNNNNNNNNNNNNNNNNNNNNNNNNNNNNNNNNNNNNNNNNNNNNNNNNNNNNNNNNNNNNNNNNNNNNNNNNNNNNNNNNNNNNNNNNNNNNNNNNNNNNNNNNNNNNNNNNNNNNNNNNNNNNNNNNNNNNNNNNNNNNNNNNNNNNNNNNNNNNNNNNNNNNNNNNNNNNNNNNNNNNNNNNNNNNNNNNNNNNNNNNNNNNNNNNNNNNNNNNNNNNNNNNNNNNNNNNNNNNNNNNNNNNNNNNNNNNNNNNNNNNNNNNNNNNNNNNNNNNNNNNNNNNNNNNNNNNNNNNNNNNNNNNNNNNNNNNNNNNNNNNNNNNNNNNNNNNNNNNNNNNNNNNNNNNNNNNNNNNNNNNNNNNNNNNNNNNNNNNNNNNNNNNNNNNNNNNNNNNNNNNNNNNNNNNNNNNNNNNNNNNNNNNNNNNNNNNNNNNNNNNNNNNNNNNNNNNNNNNNNNNNNNNNNNNNNNNNNNNNNNNNNNNNNNNNNNNNNNNNNNNNNNNNUUUUCCUCUCCCUCAUCUCUAUUAUUUGGCCCUUCACCCCCUUCAAUCCCUUCAUCUUCUUUUUCCUCUCCCUCAUUUCUGUUACUUGGCCCUUCAUCCCAUUGAAUGUCAUCCAUUUCCCCAUAUCCCUUAAAUAGAUGUGAGACGACACAACGAUUCGUCCUCUGUUUCAGUAAAGCUAGGUCCCUCCUUACUUCCUGCUCAAACUGAGGACCUAAACAUUGGUCCAAUAGUUUUUCCAUCCGUAUGACCUUUAAGUGAAGGACGUCUUUUUCCCGCUUUUCUUGAAACAACUCGGACCUCAACAAGCUUACCACCUUGUUCAACUCAUCAAGAUCACCACAUGAAGAAGGAAUUGACUCUGCCGAGACAACAGCAGGGCGAUCCUGUGGCCAACUCCAAUAUGGCUGUCUCAUUUCCUCUUCACUUAGACAUAGCGCCCGCAACUGAACUGACUGUUUCAGAAUACAGACAAGAGUCAUAUUAAAUCAUUCUACUUCAUAAUUUCAUUCAAUCUUAUCAAUAGUUCUAAGGGCUGCAAACCAAACCUCUUUGCUCUGGAAAAAAUAAUUGUUCAACUUUCUCAUCUCUGGAACAGACGUAGUAGUUCUCCAUCGCAAAAUACGCGGGACAGCGGUCGGAUCAACAACCUUGCAGUAAUUCAGGUCCGCCAUUCUAGGAAUUAAUUCAUAUACCCAAAUCUACACAAUUCACAGGACAAAAGUCAUUAUUUAUGUUUUAAAGAAAAACAAAACAUAACUGACAUGAACAUUAUUACCAUGUACCUGGAAAGCAUACGUGAAACCUUUAAAACUCCAGCCACUCCUUUGCGCUUCACUAUGCUUAUCCUUCUUGCCCUUCUCAUUUCUCCGGCUUGUUCCCGUUACCUUACUUUUCCCCUUCCCUCUUCCCUCUUCAUUUUCCAAGCUUUUCACAUACUUUGUUGGUGCAGAAAAUAGACUGUCUUGGGUUUUGUCAAAGGACACCGAACCCCACGGAUACCUGUUGAACGCAUCCAAGUCCUCUACAAGGGUCAGGUAAUUUAGAUUGAUGUUCAAAUGUUUGUCCCUUCCCAAAACCACUAACUCAGCAAAGUAAACAAGAGGUAGCUUGAAGAUGUCAUCUUCCUCUGUGCACCUCACAAAUGCUUCUUCUAAAGCAUUGCAUGUAAUUCCUUCGUCUAUAAAAUAUCUUUUCUGAAGUCUGAUUUCAUUACUCUCUCCACUGGAAACUUCAGGCACUUCCCCAAAACGAAGCCCUGUGAUCAAACAGAAAUCCUGACGAGUGAACUGAGCAACGUCACACCCUAAUAAGAAACUCAGUCCAUCCAAGUCUUUCACACCCUGCCCCGCUACUCUACGCAACACAACCCCAUGCACAAUCUGUCCGCUAAACUGAAUCUUAUCUAUAUUCAGAAGAUGGCCAAAGCAUGAUGUCUUGAAUUGUUCUAAUUGUUCCGCACUCAACUUCGCUCGAAUUGCAGCUAGAGAUGAAUUUGCAUGUGAGCAGUUGUUCACCCGUGAUGAAUAUACCUCUGCCUCUGGCCAUACCAGCUCCACGUUGGAUCCCAUUUCCUCAAAUACAAUGUGAAAUAACGUGAACAUAUAUACUACCACGUAUUUGCACAAUCACAACUAGUCAACCAGGCACAUUACAACUUUUACAAAGUACAUGAGCAUAUGGAUUACUCAUCACAGGCUUUAACAUCAUCAAAGCAAUAUGACAAUUUUUGUGCAAAUACCUGUUAAUGCAAUGAUUAUGUGAAUUACAAACAAUUUCACGUGUUUUAUUUAUGGAUCCAUACUCGUGUGAGUGCAAUGUAGGCAAGUUCUGCACUUCACACACAUGACAAUUAUUGUCAUCUCAUACACAACCCAAAAUAAAUAAAUAAGAAAUAUAGUGGAAGGAAGCAAAGCAAAGCAUGUACUCUGCUAUCUGCUUGCUAAGCAAUUGCCACAUCCUUCUUUCUUUCUACCUUUUUCUUCAGUCACCCACAAUCGUCAUAGAUCAACCUUCAUUUCAAAUGCUUUGCACUUUUAUUCAUGAGUUUAUUAUUAUCUGUUCUCAUUUCUCAUAGGCAAAUUUAGUAACAAAUGAAAUAAUAUUUAUUUCACAAAAUAUAUAAAUUCUAGUGCCAGAGAGGUACUCUUCACUCUGCACUGCUUCAAAUGUGGAAGGUUUUGAGAUGUUAUUGACAUGUGAUUGACUUUAUUUUCAUUCGUUUUUUAACAUAUACCCAAGCAAAAAUUAACAUGCAAUUGAAGCACAAAUAAGAGAUGCCAAAUCCAACAACAUUGAUGGUACAAAUUGGGGAAAACCAUUACUCUAACCCUAAACUCAAAUUCCUUACAUUACUCAUCAAAUGCUUUGCAGUUCUAUUCAUGAGUUUAUUAUUAUCUGUUCAAAUGUUUCUCAGGCAAAUUUAGUAACAAAGGAAAUCAUAUUUACUUCAUAAAAUAUAUAUAUAUAUAUAUAUAUUCUAGCGCCUCUUCUUAAUCUGCACUAUGCACUGCUUCAAAUGUGGAAGGUUUUGAGGGCCUCCUCCAAUUCAACACCAUUAUCUUAUUCAUAUCAUUAUUGACAUGUUAUUCACUUGUUAUUGACUUCAUUUUCAUUCUUUUUUUAACAUAUACCUAAGCAAAAAUUAACAUGCAACUGAAGCACAACGAAGAGAUGCCAAAUCCAACAAAAUUUAUGGUACAAAUUGGGGAAAACCAUUACUCUAACCCUAAACUCAAAUUCCAUAAAUUACUCACCAAAUGCUGGUUAUUGCAAGGUGUCUGUGUGGGGUCUUUCUGUUUCUUUGCUCCACAAAUGGAACCUACCACUUCCAACGAAUACAGCUUUUCCCCUUCCCCUUCCACUGCUUCGCCUCUUCACUGAUUUGGAAUCCACACCUUUGCCCCUUCUACUCCAAAUAAAUACUUUCUCGGGGUCUGGAGAACGGAGUGGCGAAUCGUUGCCUUCAACUGUCGUUAGCCGUUGCCUUCAUUGGGUAUCUCAGACCUCUGUGUUUUAGAGAGAUGAGUUCUUUCUGUUCAAACUUCGAACUUGCCUCUUCUUCUUCUUUUUCGGACGUGUUUCCCUCUUCUUCUUCUUUUUGGACGUGCUGGAUAUUCAAUUCGGGUUUGGGUUCCUUACCUACCCAAUUGUGAAACUUUAACUCAAUUCUCCCCAGCCCUUGGAUUAAUCUGAUGGCUAUAAAGUGAACCCCUUAUAACUUACCCCUUAUAACUUUCCACUCAUUAUAGUCUUGGCCAGGUAUGGCGGCCAUGCUAGUAAGUGUUGGGUCUUUGACCCAACUUAAGCUAAAUGGGUCAUAAGAUGACCGAUCAUCUUAUCUCAUAAGGAUAUAUAAGUCAUGUUAUGAUUUAGGAUUUUAUAGGGUUUCCUUUGUAAGAGGUAAGAGAGAAACAAGCUCUCUCUCUCUCUACACAAGGAGGUCAGCCAUAGCAAGGGAAAGGCUCCUAGCACUCUCCUCUCUCUUAUUAUAUCAUCCUUCCAAGGACAGCUUUGGUAUGGUAAAGUUGGAGGUUGCACACUUUGUGCACUUUGGUAAGAACUCAUCCAAGGGAGCCAAGAUUAAAUUGGUUAGCUGUUGGAUUAAAUUGGUUAGCACGAUUCAACGGUUAAUAGAUAAAACUUCACAUAAAAGUCAUAUAUAAGGCCCUCACUAUAGAAUGACUCGUUAGUUUAGUCUCUUGUUACAUAUCAAAUGUUAGAGAUAUUUUUUAAUAAGGAUCUGCCAUACCACAUAGUUGGAUAAGACAUUAUACACGGCUUUUGUAAGAGCAUCUCCAGCGCUCCAAACUAGCCCAAGCAGCAGGGGGGCCUAAGUCUAGGAAGCAGCUCCAGCUCGCAAGAUUCAACCCAGGCAAGGUGUGGAACCCACGAGGAGAUCUAGCCCGUCACCUUGCCUUUGGGUUUCAGUCAAGCUGAUGUCAACGAAAGAAUUUCAAAUUUUUUUUACCGUUACAAUGUACGCGCCAACGAUAAAUUUUCUUUGGAUUUCUUGCAUUGAUCCACAGCUACCAAAAACCAACAGCUACAAGCCACGUGGCUUCUCCAGGAGCCUCCGAUCCAAAAAUCAUGUCAAAUCUAACGGCAGUCCAUUUUUUGGCUAAAAAUAUCAAAAAAUUAUGGAAACAUGUUCUAUAAAUUCCUACAAAUAUUAUUCACUUCCCACACCAAAUCUUCAUACAAAUUCAUAUCCUUUCAAUAUUUUUCACUUUCCAUACAAGAUUUUCUACUACUAAGUUUCGUUUGUGUAAAAAUACAAAUGACCUCUUCUAUCGAAGCCGGAGGCGCGUGUACAACCGUGGAAGAUAUUUUGUUGCGUGAGUGUUGGGUCAAAGUUGGUCAUUCCCUGAUCACGGGCAAUGAGAUGAAGUCCUCUCGUAGGAGUUUCUGACAUCGCAACGAAAGUAAGAUGUGAUAUGAAAAUGUAAGGAAUUUGAUGAGAGGAAUGGGAUUUGAGGAGUUUGAUGUAGGAAUUGAUGUAGGAAUUGAAUUUGGGAGGUAUGUAUAUAAGAUUUGAGGGUAUGUGUUUAGGGAUUUUGAUAAGAGGAUUUGAGGAAUUUAGAUUUGAAGGAUUUGGAUUUGGGGAAUUUAAAUAUGAGGAAUUUGAUUAGGGUUUGGGUUUGAAUAUGUGAAAUUUGAUAUGAGAGUUUAGAGACAACAGAUGAUCGAUUGCUCUGAUACCAUGCUAAAAUAUGAUAUGGUUUGAAUACUUUAGGUUGAGUUUUAUUCUUUUCCAUAAAAAGGUAUAUAUAGGAGUUUACAUGAGUGCUUUACAAAGAAAUAGAUACAAUAAUCAAUUAGGAUAAUAUCUCCUAAUUAUACAAUAAUUUGUCAACUAUAUAGAAUAGGAAAGUAAAUUCCUUAAUUAAUCAAGAAAAUAAAUCUCAUUGAUUAAUUAGGAGACUAACGUCAACAUUUAUAAGCCAUAAAAGAGCAGAAAAAGAGGUACUUAGGAGAUUUUAUACGUCGGACUAAGGUAAGCUUAAAGGACUAUAUCAAAAAAAUAAGGGACCAAGAAGCAAGACAGAGAAGUUGUUAUGCAAACCCAUUAAGUUUAGCAGUGAUGAAUUUGUAAAAAUCAUUCUAGUGGAUUCUGCCUUCACUAUUGAGUUCUUAUUGAGGUUCUAUCUGAAAGGAUCUGGACAUGAAGGAGACCGCUUAUUAAACAAACCGUGGAUGUUUACAGCCUGACAUGUGGUUGCUUGAAAAUCAGCUCCCAUUCUUUAUUCUUGAGGAUCUUUAUCACACAUACAUAAUAACCGACUCUUUUAGGAAUUAUUACAGUACUCAUGAUCAUGAGAGGCUUUCAAUAAUUAAUAUUUCUAAGAAUUUCUUCACAGCCGGAAUAUUGAAUUUGGAGGGGAAGGGAGACAAAUGGAACAGAAUAUCAUCUUCUUCUAGUGUUGGAAAUUUUAUAUUAUUUAAUAAUAUUUAAUUUCUAUUGUGAAUGAAAAAUAAGUUUCUUUAAGAAACGUGUGUCUUAGGCCAGUUUUUCUAACUGGUCGGCUUCCUUAGAUUUGUGCCUAUUGCUUUUCAAAGUAUAAUGAUGCAAUGGUUGUAUCUCGUUCAGGCAAAUGGAAGGUAUAUAGCAAUUUAUAGAACAAUACAGUAAUCCAGAAGAAAUAUUAUGAAAUGAAAAGAAUAAAAAGUAAAAAAAGAGAAAGAAAGGAAUUCCCACCUGCAAUGUAUAUGUAUGAAAGGAAGGACCAAGUUUGUUUUAAAAUGGUAAGAACAAGUUGAUUUUAAAUUGGGUUCAGAUCAACUCAUAGAUUUCUUGCCUUUUCUGUUCUCCUUCCUUGGACAUGAACUGUUUAAUCUUGGACUCUUCCCCAUCAUGUUGGGCCUGUCUUCUUCUUGAGGAUUGUAUAGGCCUAGGAAAUGCUUCGGGGUAGUUUUUGUGUUUUGGGCAUUGGGACCCAACUUCACAAAAAGAAAACAAAUUUGACCAAAACACAAAUUUGAAGGACAUUGAAAUUGUACCCGUAGGAUAGAUUAAAACACUAUAAGGGAGGUAAAUAGUACGUUUACAGAGUUUAAGUGUAAUAAAGGAAUAAAAACAUGCCCAGAGAAUUGAUAAGUGAUAUCAAUUCUUGAAUAUACGUGAAAAUUAUUUUAUGUGGUUAAACCCCACCUCUGGGGAAAAUCCACGGAACUUCUUAGUCCAACUUCUAUCACUUAUCCUAGACACAUUCUAGAUAAUGUUUGCCAACCUCUUCGUAACUCAACUUCUGUCACGAGAUGAUCUUUCAACACUUUAUGUCGAACGCAAUACUGGUCACGAUUUCUUCAAGCUCGCCGGAGUUCUUCCAAUUCUCCUUAUAUUGAAUCUGAUACUAGUCACGAUCGAUUCAAGCUCAUCGGAGAAAAAUCGCCACAACAAUCUUGGUGCCCUCAACCGUAUGAGUCACUGAACAUGCAAAUGAAUACAAUAUGAAUGAUAAAAGUGUUUGAUAAAUCACCAAGUUAUGGAACACUUGAUGAUUUAUCUCAAAUAAAAAUUCAGCUUUCCAAAGUUUAUGAAUUGAAAAUAUGACCGUUAAAGCUCUCUAAACAAAGAAGACGAAGGUCUUAUUUUAUAGACUUUUACUUUACAAGAAAGAAAACACGUUGAAAACCAAAUCUCCAAUUUCCAAGGCUUGACAGAAAAUCACAAAAUUAUCUUUCCUAUUCUAGAGAUUGGUCACAUGAAGUCCAACCAAUAGGAAAUGAGAUAUUUAAGAAAGGAAGAUUUUGAUCAAUAUCAAUAUCAAAUGAAUUCUUAUACGCCUAGUCAAUUGUUAUGGGUAUCUUGACUCCUUGAUAUUGUGAUAUGAUUGAAACAUGAUUUCCACGUUAGAAAAUUAAGGGGAUGUUAAAACAUGAAGGUAAUAGGAGAAUCAAAUUGAUUUGGGCCAAAAUUGCCUAAAAAGAAAACACUCCUUAAUAAACUUCAAUUUACUUUUAAAAAUAGUAAAACGUGAUUGAAUCGUUCUUUAAAACAAUUCCCUAAUAUACAUGCAUGAUAGUGAUAUCACUUACCUUUGAAUCAGAUGGCUUUCACGGGUCAAGCCACAAGUUUUUGUCUUGGGGAUUGCUGAGCUUCAUCAAUCCUGCCAAUGUCAAUUUUGCCCCUAAGCUCUCUCAAAGCACGUUUACAACCUAUGCUAACAUAUAUUAGAGUUUAUGUUAGUAUCAAGAAAAUGCCAACACUAAUUUCGUAACACGUAGAAAUUGUUAGAGAUUGAAGUUUUUAUCAUUUUUUCUUCCAGACUCUCCACCACUCACUAAUAUAGUUUACUCAUGUGAUGAGUUUACAAAACCUAUUUCUCUACUCUCACAAAGACUAUACUUAGGGGGGUGUAUUCAAUUAGGAUUCUAAAGCGUUUAAAAAGAUUUUGUUUAAGUGCCAGCUUUCAUAGAACUUGAUGGAACUUUAUAAUUCGUAUAGAACUUGAUAGACUUUCAGAAGACUUCUGUAUAAUUUUUUAAUAAAACUUUCUUAAGCUUUCAUAGAACUUGAUAGGCUUUCAUUCCAAACUUAUGUAGAUGGUAUAUUUCAUUUUAUCCCCAUCCUUGACAUUUAAAGAAAGAAACUUGAAUUUUUUCAAUCAAAUUUGUUUUUGUUACCAAAGCAGCAAAAACAAAAAGUACUUGUUUGCGAUGGAAGAACAUAUGCACAGUUCAAAAUGAAAAGAAUAAGAAGCAAAGUACCUAUUUGACCAAUGAAUGCUGUGUCAACUAGAGAAGCAAUUGGAUCGGCUGUCAAAGCCAAUGCUGCAGGCAAUGCAUCGAUGGUCCAAAUUGCAAUAAAAAAAUAUUUUGAAUAAUGGCUCUUGCAGACAAAGACCACAUAAAUUCUGAACUGGUCUAGCUUGAAUAAUAAGGUUAGAUUAGCCAAUUGAUGAGAUUAAAAGCAAAGCAAGUUGAUGAAUUUAUCAUCAACUAUUUAAUAACCACAGUCCUGAUCUCUUGGACCCCUGUAGUCCAAGAGAUUUAUGGUCACCCACCGUUGGAUGUAAAUUCAACGGUUGACUUGAAUCGGGUAAUAAUCAUUUAUGUCAUAUUGCAUUUAUAUAUAUCAUUUUGAACCAUUGGAUUAAUAUCCAACGGUGGGUGACCACAAUCUCUUGGACUCCUGUGGUCCAAGAGAUCGGGACUGUUAAUAACCAAUAGAGUAUUUAAACAUAAACAACAAUGUUUGAUCAACAAAACAAAUAGUCCAAAUAUCAUCCAAAAAACAAUAACAAAAAAUCAAUCAUUCCAAACAAACUAGUCAUUCUCAAAAACUCUCAAAAAACCCACUCAUUCCAAAUUGUAGGAUAUCCAAUUUGAGCACUCCUCAGGAGACAUUUUCAAAAAUGCAUCCUUUUUUGUGUUACUAUGCAACAAAGAGAGUGCUUUAUAACGAGCAUGUUCAUCCAAAUUUGGGGUCUCCUUAAUGGCAUCCCAUAUAUAACUCCGCUGCUCUCUCUCUUUUUCCCUUUUUGCCAAUAGGUUAUGGACCUCCCGGAAGUCGAUGACAAUUGAAUCAAUGCUAAGGCUAAUUCUUCCCAUAGCUUGCUGGGUGGUCACAUUUGAGAUAGCAUUCCCUUCCAAAUAUGUUCUAGUUCGUUUCCUCUAGUAACAAGCAUAAAUCCUAGUAACAAGCAUAAACCCUAACCCCAACCUAUAACCUAAUAACAAGAAGAAAACCCAACGAGGUAUUGAUCAAAGAAAAAUUAGGGAGCAUACCUUCACAGAUGGAGGAAGGAAGCUGUUCGUCUUCGCAGAGAGAAAAUCUAGGGAAAGAGAAAAACGUCUUAUGAAAUACUUGGGGGGGAGGUUGGAUUUAUUUUGGUCUUUUUUAUUUAUAACUCUCCCCUUAAAACCUACGUAAAUUUAUCACUUAAUGAAAUCCUUCCAAAUAUAUGACCUUUCGAAUACACCUAGAUUUGAUUCAACUUUUUUAUAAUCAUAAUUGAAUACACCCAUAUUUGAAUGGACUUUUUAAAAGUUCAUAUAGGUCCGAAAUGAAUAUACUCAAACUUGUAAAACCUCUUUUAAAGUUUGUAUAAAUCCAAAUUGAAUACACCUGGAUUUUUAAAAUCUUUUUAAACACUUUAUAAUCCUAAUUGAAUACACCCCCCUUAUUCUCAAAAGACUAUAUUACUUUACCUCUAUCUCUGUGAAAUGUAAAAAGUUGAAACUUUAAUGUCAAACCUCAACAAAAGAUGAACUUUCAUCAGUUACGUUGAAUUUGGAUUUGUUGAACUUAAGUGGUUUUAUUUUCUUUGUCAGUGUUUGAUGACUUAAUUUGGUAUUUAUUUCUUCUUUUUUUUCCUUGGAAAUGUGUUCCACCAACGUGAGGAAGAAAAAUAUGCACAAAUUAAUAUAUUUAAUAGAAGCCCAAGAUUUCGGAUGCAUAUAAUUUCUACAAAAAUCUACAAAGUUUUUUACUUUACAAACUUCUUAUGUCUACCAAUUUCUACUAAAAUUAAUUUCUCUGUGGUGCUCAAAUUCAUCAUAUGUGUGUCGUUAAUUUUAUUGAAAAUUGGAAGUUCCCAUCAUUUUUGUUUUUUGGGAAUUUUCUGAACCAAGGAAAAUCAAGUAAAAUUAAUAAAGCCUAAAUUGGAAAGGGAAAAUAUCUAGAGGAUGCAUUGUAGGAUUGCUCAUGCCAAUAAUUGUACCCUCUAAAUAUAUAGAGACAUAUUUUUUUUGUUUUCAUGACAUGUGGUCCUAAAAUUAUUGUGUAAAUCUUCAAUCCUGAACGAUGCACCUAAAACUCAUCCACCCAUUCUCAGGCCAAUUAUUGCACCUAGUGGGCUCUCGACCCCCUCUCAAAUUUAACCACAUAUUUUAUGGACCAUCCAGCUGUGAGGUACAUUCCCCCCACAUGCCACAAUUGUAUAUUCACAAUUACGUCUGAUACAUCACAUCAUGCCACUUGCCUCAAAUGAAUUUAAGUGAGUGAGGCAGUUGGAAGUAAUUAAGCUCUAUAUUGGUGGGUGGAGUGUUACUUCUCGGUUCCCCUCAUCAUUCGUCUAUAAAAUGGUGAAGGCAGUUGCUAUUGUUACCAUAAGAGCCAGCUCCGACUUCCUUUAAUUUCUUGCUUCAUAUCCACUAGCUACAUCUGUUACCAAGUUAAUUUCAGUUCUAAUGGGGUUUCAUCUCCCACUCAUCUUUGCUCUUCUCAGUGUAAGCUCUGCAAUUUGAUUAACUUUUCCAUUCUCUCUCAUUGUACUCUAUAUAAACGAAAGUUUUGUGUUCCUAUUGUUCUCUCCGAUUUUAUUUAGUACGUACUUAAGUGUCGUCCACUAAUUAAUUAUACUUUGUGAUUUGAUUUUAAUUUGAGUUUGAAUUAAUGUUGCAGCUAGCAGCAGUGGCACUGGCAAACCAUGCUGCUCAACCAGCACCUCAACUUUACUGGAGCUCCGUCCUGCCAAACACACAGAUGCCAAGAUCUAUCAGUGAACUUCUGCAUCCUGGUUUGUGUUGAGCUCUUUAGAAUCUUAGAUAUCUCUUCUACCUGCCAUUUUACUAAAAUAUGUUCCACCACAUAUUUAUCAGUUAACCAUUGUCAUUACAUGAGUGACACAUAUUCACAAAUCGGCUGAUCACUUAUUUUCCAUUAUGACUUGAUAUAUAAUUUGCAGACUCCACAAAUGAAGAAAAGAGCACAAAUGACGUUGGCAAACCUGAAACUUUCCCAUUGGGCAAUCAACAUUACUCCAGUCAAAAACAUUAUGGAGGCAUACCUGAAACUUCCCCAUUGGGCAAUAAACAUUACUCCAGUCAAAAACAUUAUGGAAGAGGCAAACCUGAAACUUUCCCAUUGGGCAAUCAGCAUUACUCCAGUCAAAGACAUUAUGGAAGAGGCAAACCUGAAACUUUCCCAUUGGGCAAUAAACAUUACUCCAGUCAAAAACAUUAUGGAAGAGGCAAACCUGAAACUUUCCCAUUGGGCAAUCAGCAUUACUCCAGUCAAAAAAAGUAUGGAAGAGGUGCUUCUCCAUCCGACAAUCAACAACUCCAUUAUAAAGACUUAGCUAUUUUCUUCUUGGAGAAGGACAUGCGCCCUGGCACAACAAUGAAGUUCCAAUUCC
Molecule: long non-coding RNA, 50673 nt
Filed under: Prunus persica (peach)
Lineage: Eukaryota; Viridiplantae; Streptophyta; Magnoliopsida; Rosales; Rosaceae
Description: long non-coding RNA (PPER_LNC001496)
Source: RNAcentral